This 60053-nucleotide long non-coding RNA is filed under the name Vitis vinifera (wine grape). RNAcentral's name for it is "long non-coding RNA (VVIN_LNC003761)". The record is from RNAcentral. Lineage: Eukaryota; Viridiplantae; Streptophyta; Magnoliopsida; Vitales; Vitaceae.
AACUAUGUAGGUGAAUUCCCAAUUAUACCCACCUGAAUCCGCCCUCAAUCUGACCAAUCCGAGGACAAACGUAAUAAUCAUUCCAAUUCAGAUCAAGCAAACCCAUGAAAACUGCUGGCCACAGCCUCUGGUUUUUUCCCAAACUUUGGGCACCCGAUCCAAACCUAUCUCUUUCUAUAAAACCAACCCACCUUCACCUCAUCUUCUUCAUCACAACACAAAACACUGGAUUUACAGAGAGAUCUUCAAUAUCCAUUCACUACCCAGAAUCAGGUCUUUUUAUUGUUGAUUGUUGAUUGAGUUUUGGAGAAAGAAAAUUAAGGAGAUGAGUCAUAUGGGGAAAGCCUGGAUAGUGGCAACAAGCAUGGGAGCAGUUGAGGCAUUGAAGGAUCAGGGCUUCUGCAGAUGGAAUUACACUAUGAGGUCACUUCACCAGCAUGCCAAGAACAACCUCAGGUCCUUUUCUCAAGCCAAGAAGCUCUCUUCUUCCUCUUCUGCCAUGGCUUCUAGCAGAGUGAGAGAAGACAAGGCAAAGAAAUCAGAGGAGUCCUUGAGGGCUGUCAUGUACUUGAGCUGUUGGGGACCCAACUGAGACCCACCAAAAAUUAGUAGAGAGUUGUAAACAUGUAUGAUGAUUUUUUUAUGUAUUUUUUUGAAAAAAAAUCAGAUUAGGUAUCAGAAAUUCAGAAUGAUUGUUUUUUGCACUUUGUUUUUACAUGCCAUGGGAUUUGGAGUUGGUUAGUUUUGACUGAGCAUGAAAGGCAGGCCAGGGUUUUAAAGAAUUGAAUCAUUCACUGGAGAUGGAAUCUCUCUCAGAGAAAUCCUUAUUCUCUACAACCUUGGCAAAUGGCAAGCCACUAAGAGGGAAAACACAAAAAAUAAAAAUAAAAUAAAAUAAUAAUAAUUGUAGAGGAGAUAUUUGCCAAUAUAUAAAACUUAUAUUUUUGUAUUAUUAUUGAAUAAAUUAGAUUUUAUCAUACACUUAAAUAAUGGAGAUACAAAUUCAAUAUAAUACUUUUUUUUUGGUUAAUUUUAAAAGGUUUCUAAGGAAAUUAAGUCUUAAUCAAACAACUUUUAUUGAUCUUUUACAAUAUGAAUUUAUCUCUUUAAAAUAAUUUUAAUUUAGCAUUUAAAAUUUUCCGUUGAACUUUUUCACCAAAUGAGAAGUAAAAACGUAACAGAGGAAUGCAGGACUUUAAAGUGAAGUUGUCUUUUUUUGAACAAGCUAACUUUAAGUCUCGUUUUUUAAGAGAACUUUUCAUAGAAUUUGAAUUAUUUAUUUAACGAUAAAUUUUCAUGAUUUUUUUUUUAAAUUUACACCAUUUUGAAAGGGAAACUUGUAUUUUGAUGGAGCAAUUUGGAAAAUAUAUGAUUUUUGGAAUCCAACUUCACGAAAUCUGAAAACUAACUUUUAAUGUGAAAAAUUAUAUAUUUUUCAUGCACUCUAAGUCGGUUGCAUAUUUUUGUGCUAAGAUUAUUUUUAGGUUUAGUGAUUUUCCAAAAUUAUCCUUUUUGUUUUUUUUUUUUUUCUCUUGUACCCAUCAUCUGCCUCUCCCUCCCUCCCCAGUGAAAUUGGUUGGUAUUUUGCCGACGUCAUCACCAACCGCCACCCACACUUCUCUCCCGUUGGCAAUCUCCUCCUUUCUCCAUUUCCUUCCCUCUUUCUCUCUCUCUUUCAUUCCCUUUCGACAUCACCAAGAGAGAAGAAGGCGGUGGCAAUGGUGGAGAACCGGGGUUGGAGGGAAGAAGGUGCGACUGGUUGCCAUUGACGGUGGCAACCAGUAACUCUCGCAGUCAUUGACAACGGUGGUGGUGGAAGCACCUAAGUGGGGAGAGACGUCAAGGAGAGGUGGGAGGGAGGCGGACGAGGGGACCACGUCUUUCCCUACGCUGGUGCUUUCGCCGUCGCCACUGUCAAUAAUCGUGAGAGUUGUUGGUUGCUGUUUGUCGCGCCUUCUUCCCUCUAGCCCUGGUUCUCCACCAUUGCCACUGCCCUCUUCUCUCUUGAUGAUGUCGAAAGGAAAUGAAAGAGAUAAAGAAAGAGGGAAGGGAAUCGGAGAGGGGGAAAUUAAUGAUCGGAGAAAUGUGUGAGUGACGGCCGAUUUCACAAGGGAGGGAGGAAGAGGCGGAUGGUGGUGGGUAUAGGAGGAAAAUAAACAAAAAGGAUCACUUUGGAAAAUCACUAAAUCCAAAGGUAAUCUCGACACAAAAUAUGUAGCCGGUUCAGAGUGCAUGAAAAAUAUAUAAUUUUCCAUAUUGAAAAUUGAAUUUUAGAUUUCAUAAAGUUGGAUUCUAAAAACCAUAUAUUUCUUAAAUUUCCUCAUCAAAACAUAAGUCUGCAUUUUGAAAAGGAAAAACCCAAUGAAAUAUGUUCGUACUUCGUAUAGACCGUGGAGUGGGGUGUGAAAAAAACAAAGAAAUAGACACGUGCUUGAAAUCCGGCCGUGCACAUUACCCCAUUGGAAAACAGCGGUUUCAUCCUCCUUACUCUUUGAGCGUUGAGUGGAUUCACAAACAAAACAAUGGGCACGUACUGCGGACUGCCCCACACCAACACUGAGGGCCAACUAUGUAGGUGAAUACCCAAUUAUACCUACAUGAAUCAGCCGUCAAUCUUACAAAUCCAAGGGCAAAGUAGUCAUUCCAAUUCAAACCAAACCAAGCCAUGAUUCAUGAAAACUGCUGGCCACAGCUCCCGGUUUUUCCCUAACUUUGGGCACCAAAUCCAACCCAUCUCUUGCUAUAUAACCAACCCACCUUCACUUCAUCUUCUUCAUCACAACACAACUACCUUGAUUUACAGAGAGAUCUUCUAUAUCCAUUCACUACUCAGAAUCACCUCUUUCUAUUGUUGAUUGUUGUUUGGGUUUCGGAGAAAGAAAAUUAAGAUGAGUCAUAUGGGGAAAGCUUGGUUAGUGGCAGCAAGUGUGGGAGCAGUGGAGGCACUCAAGGAUCAGGGCUUCUGCAGAUGGAACUACACUCUGAGGUCUAUUCACCAGCAUGCCAAGACCAACCUCAGGUCCUUUGCUCAGGCCAAGAAGCUCUCUUCUUCCUCUUCUGCCAUGGUUUCCAGCAGAGUGAGGGAGGAGAAGGCCAAGCAGUCAGAGGAGUCUCUGAGGACUGUCAUGUACUUGAGCUGCUGGGGACCCAACUGAAGAAGAAGAUAUGAAGAUGGAUGAUCAUCAGCCUGCACUUGAAGCAUCCAGAGAGGGCAUAUUCCAAGAAAGUUAUGGAAAAUUAAGAUGAAGAAACUGCAGUGAAGCAAUUUCAUGGAAUUUUUGCUUGGAGACUCCCGAAUUACAACCAAUUGCUCAGGGUUGGGAAAAUUGGAAUUGCUGUAAAUUGUGACUGGUUCUUUGUAAAACCCAAAUCAUUUAGCUAGAAAUUGAAAAUACAUUUUAAUUUAAUUUAUAGUUUCUCUGUUAGAAUAUUAGACCCAAUUCCUAAAAAGCUUGUCAGUCUUGUAUUAGACCCAAGCUCAAGCGCAUUAAGAAAAAAUAUGGCAGAUUUGGUCACAUAGGGGAUGAAGAGGUGAUAAAGUAGAUACAACGCCCAAAAUUAAACUCUCAAUCAAUUUAAUUGAACAAAUAAUCAUAAAAGAGAUUUUUUAAAUUUAUGAUUUUUGAAAAAGAAAAUUCCAGUGAAAUAUGUUCAUGUAGACUGUGUGGUAGGAUGAAGACUAAACAAAGAAAUGGACACGUGGUUGAAGUCCGGCCCUACACAUUGCCCCAUUGGAAAACAGUGGUUUCAUCCUCCGUACUCUUUGGGCGUUAAGUGGGUUCACAAACCAAACAAUGGGCUGCCUUAACGUGGUGUUUAUUUUUUUACUUAAUUCUAAAUAGAAUCUUAAUAUUUAAUCGUAUUAAAUAUUAGAUUAUUUAUUUUUUAGUAUUUUAUUUUUAUUAAGUAUUAAAAAGUAAAAAAAAUCAUUGUGUUAUUUUUUCUAUUUAGAAAAAAUUAUAUAUUUUGAUUUUUUCUAUUUAGUAAAAAGUUUAUAAUAAGUCAUUAAAAAGUAAAAAAACAAACCAUCUAAAUUCUAAAACUAAAUGAUUUUUAGCAAAAAGCCAAAAAAACAAACACCACUUUAGACUGAGGACAAACUAUGUAGGUGAAUAUCCCAUUAUACCUACAUGAAUCAGUGGUCAAUCUUACAAAUCUAAGGACAGAGUAGUAAUUCCAAUUCAAACCAAACAAAGCUAUGAGAACUGCUGGCCACAGCCUCUGGUUUCCCCAAAACUUUGGGCAGUAUUCCUCAAAGAAUCAAGUGGGCUAGAUUUAACAACUUCGUCCACCAUGGUUAGAUUAUUGGGGGCUAGAGUAAAUAACUUCAUCCACCAUGGUUAGAUUAUUGGUAUCUCGAUGGGAGAAGUUGUUUUGAUGGAAAAACAUUGUAUUUUAUUAUUUUGUAAAUUUUAUCAUCACUCAUAUAUAUUAUUUUUUAUUUAAAAUUAAAUAAAAAAUUAAAAUUCUUAGAAAAUACGAAAAGAAAGUAUAUCACAAUCUUUAUUUUCUAUUCUAAAAUUAAAAAAUAAAAAUAAAAUUAUGAAGAAAAAAGUACAUUCCAACUUACAUUAAUUAAGGGAUGAUAUACUCUGCAAAUAAAAAAUAUAAAAAAUAAUUAAAGGUUAAAUAAAUCACUUAAUAAAUCGGUAGUAGGGGUUGAUGGUUUCAUUAUUAGACUAUAACAAGGAUUUUCAUUUUCAUUUUCUUUUUAAAUGCAUUUCAUGGUGGUGUAGAAUUUUUUUGUAUAAGGGUUUUUAAAUUGUAAUAUAGAUUAUAUAUAUAGUUGUGUUUUGUCCUAAAUUCUGACUUCCAAGUUUUCAACAUUAUAUAAAAAUCCCUAAAAUCACCUACUUCGUACGUUUUCUAACAUUAUAUAAAAAGCCCUGAAUUCACCUAUUAGAAAAAUGUUAUUUGGUGCGCUAUCAUUACCAUGACCUCAACCUCGUGCAAAGAUAUCGAGUGGUUACUAAUAGUAAAAAAUAAAUAAUAAAAACAAAAUAUAUUCAUUAUUAUUAUUAUUAUUAUUUUGUACUUUUACCAUCCAUUAUUCACAUCUUAGCAUAUGAUAGAAAAGAUGAUAAAAGAUUAUUUAUGUUGUAUGAUUUUAAGUGAAAUGAUCAAAAUAUUUAAAGAAAAAAUUAAUAAUUCAUGAAGAAUUUUUGGUAAAUUUAUAAAUUUGUAAUAAAUAUUGAUAAAUGAUAAACAAAGUAGUUUUUAAAGUGGUUGCAGUAGUUAAACAUUGUAUCUUAUUAUGAUUUUCCACCUUCAAAACUUAAUAAUAAAAUUUCAUAACAAAUUUUUAUCUAUUUGAAACUUUUGAAAUGUGGAAUCUUUUCUUGGACAUUUUUAUAUAUACAUUUGUGAAUUUUAUCUUUAUUUUUUAUUUAUAAAAUUAAAGGAUAAAAUUAAAAUGUUAAAAAUAAAAGAGAAGUAUAUCCCAACUUGCAUCAAUUAAGAGAAGAUAUAUAAAGCACAUGAAGAAUGCAAAAAAAAUUAAUGAUAAAAUAAAUCACUUAUUAGAUAGUAUUUAAUGAUUUACAUUAUUAGAUUGUAGAAAUGAGUUAUAUUUUUAUUUUUGUGUAUAGGGGAUUUUAAAUUAUAAUAUAUAUUUUUAUUUUUGAGUUAGUUUUCUUUGUUGAUACAUAGUUUUUUUUUUGUCUUGGAUAUUGUGUUAUCAGCAGUUUUAAAAGAAAUAAAAAUUAUUUAUCCCACAUCGAUUCAAAACUAAAAAUAUUAUAUAUAUUUAUUAAAACUUUGAUACCCUUAAAAAAUACAAGUACAACCAAUAAGCAAGCAUAGGGAUGACAACGGGGCGGGUAUGGGACAUGCCACCCCUACCCCAUUUCCAUCCCGGUUAUAUAUUUUUUUGCCCAUCCCUGUCCCAAACUCGGGGCGGGGCGAGUUGGUGUCCCCCUUACCUGUUUACAAAAGAGCUGAUAAUCUCAUCCCCAUCCCAAAUGUAUUUUCGGGAAUUAUGCUUUUACAAAACAUGGGUCUCUGAAAUUUCAAUAAACGUUAUAUGGGUUAUCAUAAACACAUUUAAUCAAGCAUUUGUUGUGCAACAAAACUACAAACUGCACAUAUGAGAACAAAAUGCACAGAUCUACAAAUAAACAACCCAAAAAAUCUCAAAUCCAUAAACCAAAACCAGAAAAAUAUGAAAAACAAGACAUUCUAACAAAGCCUCAAAACUUAGGGUUUUCUUACCUGGAAAUGAGGAAUCCAUAGAAACCCUAAUAAUUUGUUGUCUACGAAUUUGGUUUUUGGUUUUUAGAGCAAAAAUUGUGCUUUUAGGGUGAAAUGGGAAGAAGCAAUUUAGGAAUAAAUGAGAAAACGGGAAGAAAUGAGAAAACGAAAGGCCUUUUACGAGCAAAAGAACCCUGAGCAAUUUAGGAAGAAAUGAGAAAACGGGAAGAAAUGAGAGCGAAAGCCCUCUAACUCUCUCAUGAGCAAAAUAACCCUAAAACUUGAGGAAGAAAUGAUUAUAUGUGUAGGACUUUUUGGGUAUUUUGUAAUGACAUAAGGGUAAAUUGGUAAUUCACAUACGGGGCGGGGCAGAAACUGCAAAACCCAUCCCUGCCUUAAACCCAAUUCGGGUUUUUAUAUAUUCCCCAAACCCUUUUUAUACCCGAAUAGGAUAUUCUCAUACCCGUCCCAAUAGGGACGGGGCGGGUGACCCGAAUUACCCGGAAAAUUGUCAUUCCUAAGCAAGCAUUGAGCUAAAUCCUAAUCUCACAUUCCUACUUGAAACUUUACACUCACAUAAAAACAACUCACCACUUGACUCGAGGGACUAUUCCGUAACUUCUCACUACCAACAACCAGGCACUAUUCAACCUCUCGCUCACUUAUAAAUUCACUCCCUACCUGCAUAUUCAAAACGUAUCUCACUACUAUUCUACUCUACUAUUCUACUUUUCGUGGUUUCAUAUCUCACUAUUAUUCCACUUUUCGCGGUUUCAUAUCUCACUACUAUUCGCGUGUUCAAAGUGUAUCCCUCCCUGAAUUAAUUGUGAAUUAAUUUAGGCUUCAAAGUGUGUUGCUCUACAAUAUCCCUCCCAGUCAGGCCUCAAAGUAAGAACAACAACAUCUACAAUAUCUGCCAUGGCCACACAACCAAGGCAUGCGGUAUGCCGCAUUUUCUCAUGUCCUUUUCCCAUUUUGUUCCCUCUUUUCAUCUCCAUUUUGUUUUCAAUAUCCCCUUACCUUACUCAUAUUCUCUAAAAUUAGAUAAAAUUAUUAAUUUGAUCAUAUUUAUCUAACAUUUUUAAUUAAUACUACUAGUAUCUUAUUUUCAUAAAUCUAAUUGAAUUUCCUACUUAUUUAUUUAUUGUUUUCAUGACAAAACUUCAUCAACUUUCAUAUCUUUCCUUACAAUUCUGAGUUCAACUGUCCUUGCGAAAUACCAAUAUGAGAAUGUUUCCCCAUUUGCCCAACACAACAUAGGUAUGCAAAUCUCCUUAUUUGCAUCAUUUAUAUAUUUCAUGAUGGUUGUGGUUUAUGAAAUCCUUGAUUCUAAUGGAACUAUCAAAAUUGAAGAAGAUGGAAGAUAUCUCCUUAUUUUGAGUCAUGUUCGGUUCUUAAGUGGAACAGCAGCUGCAACUUUGUUGAUCCUGAUCUUGAUCCCAUAUUUUGGAUGGUUCUUUCUGAUCAUGUGGACCAUGUUCUUAGUGAAAAUAACAUGCUAUUGGGAUAAAACAUUUUAUAACUUUGACAUGUUCAAGAAUAAAAAAAAAUGCCAAUGAUAGGGAAGGAGGACAAGAGGAGCAACGACUCCAAGUUUAGAGUAGGUUUGGUCCAUCAGAGGUUAUUAGCAAAAAACAUAUUUUCUUCUUGUACUUUCGAAAGUGUUAAAUAAGUGUUAUAUUUUGAGUAAUGAGAGUAUUUUUUUCCUUUUUUCUUUUUUUCUAAUACAUUAUUGGUGAUUAUUCUUCGUCGGAAUACCCACAAGGCUAUUAGAUGUUUCAUUGCAAAAUAUGGUUUUAUAUGAUAGCAUUACGAUUGAACUAAUAAAACAUAUUUUUUGCAUAUUGUUUAGUUGGACCCCCCGACUACCUCUCGGUAAUAUCCUCUUAACAUAGGAAGUAUAAACUAAUAGCAAGUGCUAAUCUUUCCCAUUCUUACACAAGAAAGACCCAAGGAGAAGGUAUAUUUAGAAAUUGCAUAUCUAUGUUCCCAAACAAUAGAAAAUUCAAUAUAUGGCACUUCACUCUCUACUUUUCUUUCCCACAUUUUCUCAUAACCCAAAUAUGCUCACCUCUCAUUCUAAGAUCCAACCAUUGAAAAACAAUUACAAAAAUCCUAAUAAAAGAGAUAGAUCAUACUACAAUUACACUUUCUUACAAGAAAUUGAAGUGUAGAAGGUAUAACAAUUGAGUGAAACAAAUAAAAACCAACCUCCUUUAACACACAUGCUAAUGAAAUACUUGCAGAGACACUUUAAAUUUCUCCAGACUCCAAGAGAUAUUGAACAACAGCCUCGACACCUGCAGCGACGAGACCAUCACCUGAUACGAUAUAAUGCACAAACUCGGCACGGAAUCAAUAAGACUUGGUUGGAUUACAAAUUUUUUUUCAAACAUUCUCUUUUUCUUUCCAAUCACAAUAAAACAUCAGAAUAUUUUCAAAAAUAAAAAUCAGAAAUUCACCUUUCAAAAGCAAACACCCAUGAUUCUGAAAUUGGAGCUUUUAACCUAAAAGAUCAAAGAAGAUGAAGAAGAAAAAACCCAACCCCUGACUCGUUCGGAAAUAAGAGGAGAAACCACCGAAGGAUGAGGGCAUGAUUUAGGAUUUACUUACUUGAUUUUCCUAAAAAUCGAGAAUCAUCGGAGGGUGGAGGUUUGGUGUCAACGGUGGUAACUCGUCAAGUGGAUUGAAUCUUACAACAGCGACGUCGGCCAGGCAACCCUCUCACAGUCAGAUUGCUCUCCCUUCGGGGUCUUGCAUAGUUGCAAAUUUGCAAUUGUAGGUGGUGUCAUCUGUCGACGGUCUUGACAACAAUGGUGUUGUGCGAGUAUGGAAGAUUGGGAGCCUAAAUUGGUAAAGUAAAAAAUGCAUUUUAUAUGGAUUUACAUUGAUGAUAUGAGAUAGGAUUUGAUGGUAACAUAUUAAAUUAAAUUAAAUGAUUGAGUCCAAAAUGAUAUGGAUGGUAUGAGAUAGGAUUUAAUGAAAAAUUAAAUGUAUUUAUAUGGCAGAUUGAGAAUUAAAUCCACAAUUCUUAGUAGUAUUAUAAAUGGCUUUGAGUUAAAUGUGAAAAAGUUUUAUUAAUUUUUUAAGCUUAUUAAAUUUAUAUCUAUUUUUUAUAUAUAAUUUACAUAAUAUUUUUAUAAUUUUUUGAAAUUUCUAAUUAUCUUAUUUUGCGUGUUGCUUGAUAUUGAAUCAAGAUGUUGAGACCAACAUAUCUCGGGAACAUCUGAGUUAAUGAUCGAUAUCGCGACUUUGAACCAUGCUCGUCUCCAAUCCCUUAACAAUGAUGAAAAAUGAGGGCAACACAAUUACCCUUUUUAUUAUUAUCUGUUCAAAAUAAUACAUGCAUUAUAAUAUAAUUUUUUAAAAAUAUUUUACAAAAAAAUAUAUGUGGACCCCGUAUUUAGGCUCAUGCGUUUCCACUCGAUGGCGAGCUUGAUUUUAUUUUGAAAAUAAUUUUAUUUAUUAGAAAAUGACUUGGAGUCGCCACUUAUUUUUGUUUUAUUUUUAAAGGGUAAACAAAAUAAGAAAGAAAACCCUAAGUGUGACUCCUUAUUUUGGAAAAGGUGGUCUGUAAAAAAUUGGAUCGAGUUUGGGGGUCAGGUUACUUAUCGGGAAGGUACGGUAAAGACCGUAGCACCCCUUUAAGUCCCCAAAGUCGGGUCUCUACUAAUAAAAUGAAGUUGACGCAACAAUCAAUAAUAAAAACAAUGAAUACCGACAUGAUCACAUAUUGAAAGCCAAAACAUAUAAGGAUGAUGGUUAGAGUGAGAAAAAAUGCGUACCUGAUCAGCAAGCGGCAACGCGCUAUCAUAAAAUGAGGUUAGUGCACAAAUAAUGGACAUAAAACAUAGCUCACAAGCCACUGAAUCGAGUACAAAAUCAUCAGAUAUCACAAUUAAGUCAAAUUUAUUUUUCGGGGAAACAAUCACUGAUGUUGGGCCUUCACCAAAACCCAAUUUAUUCCUGUAUGAAUUAAUUUCGUAAAUUCCAUCACUUGGAAUUACAGAAUUUAAUUCACACUUAUUUUUAAAAUGUUUUAGAAAUCAUGGAAGUUAUGGAAAUCCAUGCCGAAGAAAAUGGCAACAAAAUUUUAUUAAAAAUGUGAUUUUUGGGACUUGAAAGCUCUAAGGAUGAAGAAUCUGGAAAAUAAUGCGAAAAAAAUGAGAUUUGGAAAAAAAUAUUUUUUUAAACCAAGAAUGGUGAAAAUGAGAAAAAAAAAAAAAAAGGAAGUGACACGUGGCAUAAGGGUGGCCAUGCAAAGGUGGCCAUGCACCAUUCCAAACAAAUCUAACCCCACUUGCUUUUAUUUGAUCCUGAUCUUAAUCCCAUAUUUUGGAUGGUUCCUUCUGGUCAUGUGGACCAUGUUCUUAGUUAAAAUAACAUGCUAUUGGGAUAAAACAUUUUAUAACUUUGACAUGUUCAAGAAUAAAAAAAAUGUCAAUGAUAAGGAAGGAGGACAAGAGGUGCAGCGACCCCAAGUUUAGAAUAGGUUUGGUCCAUAAGAAGUUAUUAACAAAAAAACAUAUUUUCUUCUUGUACUUUUGAAAGUGUUAUAUUUUGAGUAAUGAGAGUAUUUUUUUUUUCCUUUUUUCUUUUUCUUUAAUACAUUAUUGGUGAUUAUUCUUCGCUGGAAUACCCACAUGGCUAUUAGAUGUUUCAUUGCAAAUAUGGUUUUAUAUGAUAGAAUUAUGAUUGAACUUAUAAAACAUAUUUUCUGCAUAUUGUUUAGCUGGGCCUCCCAACUACCUCUCGGUAAUAUCCUCUUAACAUAGGAAGUAUAAACUAAUAGCAAGUGCUAAUAUUUCCCAUUCUUACACAAGAAAGACCCAAGGAAAAGGUAUAUUUAGAAAUUUCAUUUCUAUGUUCCCAAACAAUAGAAAAUUCAAUAUAUGGCACUUCACUCUCUACUUUUCUUUCCCACAUUUUCUCAUAACCCAAAUAUGCUCACCUCUCAUUCCAAGAUCCAACCAAAAUUGAAAAACAAUUACAAAAAUCCUAAUAAAAGAGACAGAUUAUACUACAAUUACACUUUCUUACAAGAAAUUGAAGUGCAUAAGGUAUAACAAUUGAGUGGAACAAAUAAAAACCAGCCUCCUUUAACACAUUUGCUAAUGAAAUACUUGCAGAGACACUUUAAAUUCCUCCAGACUCCAAAAGAUACUGAUCAACAGCCUCGGCACCUGCAGCGACGAGACCAACACCUGAUACGAUAUAAUGCACAAACUCGGCAUGAAAUCAGUAAGACUCAGUUAGAUUACAGAAAAAUUUUCAAACAUUCUUUUUUUCUUUCCAAUCAUAAUAAAACAUCAGAGUAUUUUCAAAAAUAAAAAUCAAAGAUUCCCCUUUCAAAAGCAAACACCUAUGAUUCUGAAAUUGGAGCUUUUAACCCAGAAGAUAAAAAAAGACGAAAAAGAAAAAACCCAACCCCUGACCCGUUCGGAAAUAAGAGGAGAAACCACCGAAUGAUGAGGGCAUGAUUUAGGAUUUACUUACCUGAUUUUCCUAAAAAUCGAGAAUCAUCGGAGGGUGGAGGUUUGGUGUCGGUGGUGGUAACUCGUCAAGUGGACUGAAUCUUACAACGGCGACGUCGGCCAGGCAACCCCUCAUAGUCAGAUUGCUCCCCAUCCGAGGUCUUUCAUAGUUGCAAAUUUGCAAUUGCAGGUGGUGUCAUCUAUCGAUAGUCUUGACAGCAACGGUGGUGUGCAAGGUGUGCGAGAUUGGGAGCCCAAAUUGGUAAAGUAAAAAAUGCAUUUUAUAUGGAUUUACAUUGAUGAUAUGAGAUAGGAUUUGAUGGUAACUUAUUAAAUUAAAUUAAAUGACUGAGUCCAAAAUGAUAUGGAUGGUAUGAGAUGGGAUUUAAUGAAAAAUUAAAUGUAUUUAUGUGGCAGAUUGAGAAUUAAAUCCCCAAUUCUUAGUAUUAUUAUAAAUAGCUUUGAGUUAAAUGUGAAAUUUUUUUGUUUUAUUAAGUUUUUAAGCUUAUUUAAUUUCUAUCUAUUUUUUAUAUAUAAUUUACAUAACAUUUUUAUAAUUUUAUGAAAUUUCUAAUUAUCUUAUUUUGCGUAUUGCUUGAUACUGAAUCAAGAUGUCGAGACUAACAUAUCUCGAGAUCAUCUGAGUCAAUGAUCGAUAUCGCGACUUUGAACCAUACUUGUCUCCAAUCCCUCAACAGUGAUGAAAAAUGAGGCCAACACAGUUGCCUUUUUUAUUAUUAUCAGUUAAAAAUAAUGAAUCUAUAUCCAUGUAUUAUCAAGAAUAAAUAAGUUUAUAUUUAUAAAUUUUUAUUAUAAAUUUAUAUUUACACAUAUCCUUGAUUUUCCUCAAGGUCUUAUUUUUAAUUGAUUACAAAGCAUUAGUACUUAUUUAAUUUAAAAUGUAUUAAAUAAAUAUUAAUAUUACAUAAAUAAAUAAAAGUUGAAUUUGAAUAAAAAUUAUAUAUAUAUAUAUAUAUAUCAUAUUCUACAUGAAUAUGAAUCUAUUAUUAAAGAUACAUGGUAAUAAGUGUUAAUAUUAUAUAAUCAAAUGAGAGUACAAAAAUUUUCUAUUAUUAACAAUACAUUAUUAUAAUAAUGAAAUACUUAAUAUCAUGUAAAUAAAUAAAAGUCAUCAUAAAUUUAAAUUUGAAUUUAUAUUUUUAAACCCAUCAAAUUUAUUUUUAUUUAUUUUUAAUUUUAAGAAUUUUUUCUCCACUUCAAAUAGCAAUAAUAGUGUUUAUUCAUACUAAUUAUACUUAAAAUUGAUGAAAUUUAUGAAAAAAGAAGAAGUAAAAACCCAUACCCUUCAAAUUUACAUUUGUUUUAAUUUUAAGAUUUUUUUUCUCUACUUCAAGUAAUAAUAAUAAUAAUGUUUAUUCAUACUAAUAGCAAUAAAAUUAACGAAAAUGAUGAAAAAUAAAAAAUAAAAAAUAAAUAGUAAAAACUUCAAAAUUUUAAUAAUAAUAAUAAUAUUUAUUCAUACUAAUAAACAAUUCUUCAUAAUCAUAACCUACUAAUUUCCAACAAUUAUAAUUGAAAUUGUUUUGAAUAAACAAUGUAAUUUGUAUUUGAAGUUGAAGAAAAUUGUGAAAAUUAAAUGGGAAGGGUAGGGUUUUAAUUUUUUAUUUUAUUUAAAAUUUUUCCCUCAUUAAUUAAUUAAUUAAUUAAUUAAUUUAUUUAUUUAUUUAUGAAUUUUGAGUGAAAUUAUUAUGAAUCAACAAUUUUAUUGAUAUUUAAAGUUUAAAAAAAAAAAAUCUAUGAAUUUUAAAUAAAUUUUGGAAGGUAUUUGUAAUGGGGUAUUUUUAUUUGCACUUUCCUAUUAUGUUGAAAUAUUGUUUGGUUUCAACAUUGUUUAUUCAAAAUAAUUUCAAUUAUAAUUAUUGGAAAUUAGGAGGUUAUGAUUAUGAAGAAUUGUUUAUUAGUAUGAAUAAACAUUAUUAUUAUUAUUAUUAUUAUUAUUUGAAGCAGAGAAAAAAAUUCAUAAUGCAUAGGGAGACCACAGAUUCUAUGGAUUCAACAAUUGAUAAACCUACUUGUUUAUGUUAUUGUCCCUAACCAUCUAUUCCAUUUUUGAAUUUACUUUUGGUGCAUUUAGUUUGUAACUUAUCUUAUGUUUUACUUAUUUUCAAUUUUUUUUUUUUAAGGUUAAGAUAGUAGUUUUUUUUUUUUUUAAAAAAAAAAAAAAAAACUCUUUUGAGCAAUACUUGAUUCUCUUGCUAUUCUUAUUUUUAACCAUUUUUUCAAUAAGAAAUUAUUUCUUUUUGGCGGAAUUGUAGGAAGUGGAUUGAAUCGGAAAAUUUAUUUGGGCCAGAUUGUGUUUCACUAGAGUCUUGAGAGAUGCAGCUUAGUGAGCUUAUAAUAAAAAGGUAGGCAUUUAAACGGACCAUACUGGUCCGAGUCAAUCUUAGUUUGGCCUAGUGGGCCUUCGGAAUUGCUCCAACAUGAAUUUCAAUGUCAACUUCAAUUUUUAAAAUUAAUAAUUAUACAUUUGUUUUAACUAUUUAUAACAAAUAUUAUCUUUGAAAAGUAAAUUUCAAUUAAUUUUUAUAUUUAAAUAAAAAUUAUUAUUAUUUUAAUUAUUUGUAUCCAAAUCAUACCCGAUAUAUUUGAUUUAUCUUACAAUGUUUCAACAUAAUAGGAAAUUGCAAAUAAAAAUACCCCAUUACAAAUACCUUCCAAAAUUUAUUUAAAAUUCAUAUAUAUUUAUAUAUAUAUAUAUAUAUAUAUAUAUAUAUAUAUAUGAAUUUUAAAUAUCAAUAAAAUUGUUGAUUCAUAAUAAUUUCACUUAGAAUUCAUAAAAAAAUACGAGGAAAAAAAUUAAAAUAAAAAUUUUUAAGAUCCCUACCCUUCCCAUUUAAUUUUAACAAUUUUUUUCUGAGCAUUGAUUUGUUGAUCGAUUAUCAAGGGCCACUCAUUUGCUUUGUUGGAUCUAACUCUCUGUAUGCAUGCUCUGUUUUGGCUUUGUUUGUUUUUUUUUUUUUUUUUUAUCUUUGCUUUCUCUUGUAAAUAUCUGAUGCAUUGUUCCUUCUCUGAACUUGAGAUAUAAAAAUCAUGCUCUUGUUCCUUGUGGAUUCCACCUUCUCCUAGCUCUUUGACAAUCCAUGAAAUAGAGCUAAGUUCAUACUCUAUUUUUAUGUUUUUAUUCUUCUUUGUUUGUUGUUGAUGGUGGGAUGAUAUUAUCAAUGGCUAAGUUGCUGGGAUUUGAGGAGUGAGGUUAUGGGGAAGUGAACUUAAUGGAGGAUUUCUAUGAUCAUAUCUAUGCUCCAAUCUAUUGGUUCAAAAUGUUGGCCAUGAGACUGCAUUGAAGUUUUGGUAUUUGGGAUCACUUUGCCAUCCGGGUUCAGUAAGCAACACAGUGGCAAUAAAGAUGCAUUGGUGUUAUUAAUUUGGGUGAAUAAGUUGGUUGUAUGAAUCGUGAAAGUUCAGGUUGUGCUUUGAGGAGAGUAUAUCUUGCAUCCUAUUAUUUUAAUUAUUAAUUUUGGAUGUUGAAAUAUGAUGUGAUCGCACUUCAUACAUCAUGGUUGUGUGAGGAAAAAGAAAGAUUGAAGAAAUGGUUGUGUGAAAUGGAAAUAAGAAUGAAAAGACCCUGGAGAGGGCAAAAAUGAAAAGAAAAAAAAAAUGAAAUGAUCCCAGAGAGGGCAAAUUAAGAAGGAAGUGAGAUCUUUAAGGUGAAAGUCCCAAAAGUUUACUUCGGGAAGACUCCGAAUGGGGAGUAUAUUUAGGUACAGAUGUGUAUCCUUUGGUGAAAGCUUGAGAACCAUAGUGCAUUGUGUGAUUGCGUGUAAGCAUUUGCAUCAUAAUUGCGUUUGGAAGAAGGAUUUGUAUUAUUUAUCAAGUGUAUGUUUGAAUAUAUUAUUCAAAACUAAAAUGACUUGUUUAUUUUGUAAAUUUAGAAUUGUUGAUAUACUAAACAUAUGAUUGAAUAAGGAAAAUGAUAAUUUUGAUUGUUUUAAAUUUAUAUGGUUAAGGUUUCUUUUAAUGUAUAUAUUGUAAAUGUAAUAUUGUAUUUUGACAUAUGGUUGUGUUAUUGACCUAGAAUUUCUAACCUAUUUGGGUGUAAAACACCCUACUGAGCAACGUGGAAAUGCCCAUCUCUUUAUUUUCUAAAAUUUUAGAUGCAAAUAUAGUUUCAGAGGGACCACAAGAAGUUCAAGAAGCGUUCUAGAAAGUAAAAGAACUAUAAUAAUAGUUGUUUUUAAAUUUAUAUUUCUCUUUUUAUAUGUACCAAUUUGAGUUAUAUGGACUUUUGUAUGUUAAAUUAUAUUUUGUUAAAUUGUAAAAUAUUUUUGGAAAUAUUUUUUUUAACUUAGAGAUUAUUGUAAAUAUUUCAGCUUUUGGGCAGAAAGAUGACUGGUGGAUUUAUUAUACUUGUGAAUAAGAGAUAGUGUGAUGGUUGGUUUUAGAAAAAUAAAAUAUUAUAGUAAAUCUUAACUUAAUAAGAGCAGGAUGAUCAUCAGCCUGCUCUUGAAGCAUCCAGGGAGGGCAUAUUCCAAGAAAGUUACGAAAAAUUGAGAUGAAGAAACUGCAGUGAAGCAAUUUCAUGGAAUUUUUGCUUGGAGACUCACGAAUUACAACCAAUUGCUCAGGGUUGGGAAAAUUGGAAUUGGUGUAAAUUGUGACUGGGUCUUUGUAAAACCCACAUCAUUUAGCUAGAAAAGCUUUGAAAAUACAUUUUAAUUUAAUUUAUAAUUUCUAUGUUAGAAUAUUAGAUCCAAUUCCUAAAAAGCUUAUCAGCCUUGUAUAUAUGGCUAAGCAGGUCAACUUCCCAAGCUCAAGCGCAUUAAGAAAUUCUCAGACCUACCUUUUUUUUAUAGGAUUUUUGGGAAGUUUUACAGCAAUUGAAAACAAAUCCUAAAAGGGUCGGGAAAUUAUUUGAAAAAAUAUGGCAGAUUUGGUCACAUAGGGGACAAAGAUGUGAUAAAGUUGGUACAACGCCCAAAAUUAAACUCUCAAUUAAUUUAAUUAAACAAAUAAUCAUAAAAGAGAUCUGUGUAGACUGUGUGGCAGGUUUUUAAUUUAUGAUUUUUGUUUUUUUAUUUAUACUUUUUGAAAAAGAAAAUUCCAGUGAAAUAUGUUCGUGUAGACUGUGUGGCAGGAUGCAGACUAAACAAAGAAAUUGACACGUGCUUGAAUCCGGCCCUACACAUAGCCCCAUUGGAAAACAGCGGUUUCAUCCUCCGUACUCUUUGGGCGUUAAGUGGGUUCACAAACCAAACAAUGGGCUGCCCCAACACAGCAACACUUAGAUUGAGGACAAACUAUGUAGGUGAAUACCCAAUUAUACCCACAUGAAUCAGCGGUCAAUCUUUCAAAUCUAAGGACAGAGUAGUCAUUCCAAUUCAAACCAAACAAAGCUAUGAGAACUGCUGGCCACAGCCUCUGGUUUCCCCAAAACUUUGGGCAGUAUUCCUCAAAGAAUCAAGUGGGCUAGAUUUAAUAACUUCGUCCACCAUGGUUAGAUUAUUGGGGGCUAGAGUCAAUAACUUCAUCCACCAUGGUUAGAUUAUUGGUAUCUCGAUGGGAGAAGUUGUUUUGAUGGAAAAACAUUGUAUUUUAUUAUUUUGUAAAUUUUAUCAUCACUCAUAUAUAUUAUUUUUUAUUUAAAAUUAAAUAAAAAAUUAAAAUUCUUAGAAAAUACGAAAAGAAAGUAUAUCACAAUCUUUAUUUUCUAUUCUAAAAUUAAAAAAUAAAAAUAAAAUUAUGAAGAAAAAAGUACAUUCCAACUUACAUUAAUUAAGGGAUGAUAUACUGUGCAAAUAAAAAAUAUAAAAAAUAAUUAAAGGUUAAAUAAAUCACUUAAUAAAUCGGUAGUAUGAGUUGAUGGUUUCAUUAUUAGACUAUAACAAAGAUUUUCAUUUUCUUUUUCUUUUUAAAUGCAUUUUAUGGUGGUGUAUAACUUUUUUGUAUAAGGGUUUUUAAAUUGUAAUAUAGAUUAUAUAUAUAGUUGUGUUUUGUCCUAAAUUCUGUCUUCCAAGUUUUCAACAUUAUAUAAAAAUCCCUAAAAUCACCUACUUUAUACGUUUUCUAACAUUAUAUAAAAAUCCCUGAAUUCACCUAUUAGAAAAAUGUUAUUUGGUGCGCUAUCAUUACCAUGGCCUCAACCUCGUGCAAAUAUAUCGAGUGGUUACUAAUAGUAAAAAAUAAAUAAUAAAAACAAAAUAUAUUCAUUAUUAUUAUUAUUAUUUUGUACUUUUACCAUCCAUUAUUCACAUCUUAGCAUAUGAUAGAAAAUACGAUAAAAGAUUAUUUAUGUUGUAUGAUUUUAAGUGAAAUGAUCAAAAUAUUUAAAGAAAAAAUUAAUAAUUCAUGAAGAAUUUUUGGUAAAUUUAUAAAUUUGUAAUAAAUAUUGAUAAAUGAUAAACAAAAUAGUUUUUAAAGUGGUUGCCGUAGUUAAACAUUGUAUCUUAUUAUGAUUUUCCACCUUCAAAACUUAAUAAUAAAAUUUCAUAACAAAUUUUUAUCUAUUUGAAACUUUUGAAAUGUGAAAUCUUUUCUUGGACAUUUUUAUAUAUACAUUUGUGAAUUUUAUCUUUAUUUUUUAUUUAUAAAAUUAAAGGAUAAAAUUAAAAUGUUAAAAAUAAAAGAGAAGUAUAUCCCAACUUGCAUCAAUUAAGAGAAGAUAUAUUAAGCACAUGAAGAAUGCAAAAAAAAUUAAUGAUAAAAUAAAUCACUUAUUAGAUAGUAUUUAAUGAUUUACAUUAUUAGAUUGUAGCAAUGAGUUAUAUUUUUAUUUUUGUGUAUAGGGGAUUUUAAAUUAUAAUAUAUAUUUUUUAUUAUUUUUGAGUUAGUUUUCUUUGUUGAUACAUAGUUUUUUUUUUUGUCUUAGAUAUUGUGUUAUCAGCAGUUUUAAAAGAAAUAAAAAUUAUUUAUCCCACAUCGAUUCAAAACUAAAAAUAUUAUAUAUAUUUAUUAAAACUUUGAUACCCUUAAAAAAUACAAGUACAACCAAUAAGCAAGCAUAGGGAUGGCAACGGGGCGGGUAUGGGACAUGCCACCCCUACCCCAUUUCCAUCCCAGUUAUAUAUUUUUUUGCCCAUCUCUGUCCCAAACUUGGGGCGAGGCGAGUUGGUGUCCCCCUUACCUGUUUACAAAAGAGCUGAUAAUCUCAUCCCCGUUCCAAAUGUAUUUUCGGGAAUUAUGCUUUUACAGAACAUUGGUCUCUGAAAUUUCAAUAAACGUUAUAUGGGUUAUCAUAAACACAUUUAAUCAAGCAUUUGUUGUGCAACAAAACUAAAAAUUGCACAUAUGAGAACAAAAUGUACAUAUCUACAAAUAAACAACCCAAAAAAUCUCAAAUCCAUAAAGCAAAACCAGAAAAAUAUGAAAAACAAGACAUUCUAACAAAGCCUCAAAACUUAGGGUUUUCUUACCUGGAAAUGAGGAAUCUAUAGAAACCCUAAUAAUUUGUUGUCUACGAAUUUGGUUUUUAGUUUUUAGAGCAAAAAUUGUGCUUUUAGGGUGAAAUGGGAAGAAGCAAUUUAGGAAGAAAUGAGAAAACGGGAAGAAAUGAGAAAACGAAAGGCCUCUUAUGAGCAAAAGAACCCUGAGCAAUUUAGGAAGAAAUGAGAAAACGGGAAGAAAUGAGAGCGAAAGCCCUCUAACUCUUUCACGAGCGAAAUAACCCUAAAACUUGAGGAAGAAAUGAUUAUAUAUGGAGGACUUUUUGGGUAUUUUGUAAUGACGUAAGGGUAAAUUGGUAAUUCACAUACGGGGUGGGGCAGAAACUGCAAAACCCAUCCCUGCCUUAAACCCGAUUCGGGUUUUUAUAUAUUCCCCAAACCCGUUUUAUACCCGAAUAGGAUAUUCUCAUACUCGUCCCAAUAGGGACGGGGCGGGUGACCCAAAUUACCCGGAAAAUUGUCAUUCCUAAGCAAGCAUUGAGUUAAAUCCUAAUCUCACAUUCCUGCUCGAAACUUUACACUCACAUAAAAACAACUCACCACUUGACUCGAGGGACUAUUCCGUAACUUCUCACUACCAACAACUAGGCACUAUUCAACCUCUCGCUCACUUAUAAAUUCACUCUCUACCUGCAUAUUCAAAAUGUAUCUCACUACUAUUCUACUCUACUAUUCUACUUUUCGUGGUUUCAUAUCUCACUAUUAUUCUACUUUUCGCGGUUUCAUAUCUCACUACUAUUCGCGUGUUCAAAGUGUGCAUAUUCAAACUGUAUCCCUCCCUGAAUUAAUUGUGAAUUAAUUUAGGCUUCAAAGUGUGAUGCUCUACAAUAUCCCUCCCAGUCAGGCCUCAAAGUAAGAACAACAACAUCUACAAUAUCUGCCAUGGCCACACAACCAAGGCAUGCGGUAUGCCGCAUUUUCUCAUGUCCUUUUCCCAUUUUGUUCCCUCUUUUCAUCUCCAUUUUGUUUUCAAUAUUCCCUUACCUUACUCAUAUUCUCUAAAAUUAGAUAAAAUUAUUAAUUUGAUCAUAUUUAUCUAACAUUUUUAAUUAGUACUACUAGUAUCUUAUUUUCAUAAAUCUAAUUGAAUUUCCUACUUAUUUAUUUAUUGUUUUCAUGACAAAACUUCAUCAGCUUUCAUAUCUUUCCUUACAAUUCUGAGUUCAACUGUCCUUGCGAAAUACCAAUAUGAGAAUGUUUUCCCAUUUGCCCAACACAACAUAGGUAUGCAAAUCUCCUUAUUUGCAUCAUUUAUAUAUUUCAUGAUGGUUGUGGUUUAUGAAAUCCUUGAUUCAGAUGGAACUAUCAAAAUUCAAGAAGAUGGAAGAUAUCUCCUUAUUUUGGGUCAUGUUCGGUUCUUAAGUGGAACAGCAGCUGCAACUUUGUUGAUCCUGAUCUUGAUCCCAUAUUUUGGAUGGUUCUUUCUGAUCAUGUGGACCAUGUUCUUAGUGAAAAUAGCAUGCUAUUGGGAUAAAACAUUUUAUAACUUUGACAUGUUCGAGAAUUAAAAAAAAUGCCAAUGAUAAGGAAUGAGGACAAGAGGAGCAACGACCCCAAGUUUAGAGUAGGUUUGGUCUAUAAGAGGUUAUUAGCAAAAAACAUAUUUUCUUCUUGUACUUUCGAAAGUGUUAUAUAAGUGUUAUAUUUUGAGUAAUGAGAGUAUUUUUUUUUUCCUUUUUUCUUUUUCUCUAAUACAUUAUUGUUGAUUAUUCUUCGCUGGAAUACCCACAAAGCUAUUAGAUGUUUCAUUGCAAAUAUGGUUUUAUAUGAUAGCAUUAUGAUUGAACUAAUAAAAUAAAUUUUCUGCAUAUUGUUUAGCUGGACCUCCCAACUACCUCUCGGUAAUAUCCUCUUAACAUAGGAAAUAUAAACUAAUAGCAAGUGCUAAUCUUUCCCAUUCUUACACAAGAAAGAACCAAGGAAAAGGUAUAUUUAGAAGUUGCAUUUCUAUGUUCCCAAACAAUAGAAAAUUCAAUAUAUGGUGCUUUACUCUCUACUUUUCUUUCCCACCUUUUCUCAUAACCCAAAUAUGCUCACGUCUCUUUCCAAGAUCCAACCAAAAUUGAAACACAAUUACAAAAAUCCUUGUAAAAAAGACAGAUCAUACUACAAUUACACUUUCAUACAAGAAAUUGAAGUGCAGAAAGUAUAAAAAUUGAGUGAAACAAAUAAAAACCAACCUCCUUUCACACACCUGCUAAUGAAAUACUUGUAGAGACACUUUAAAUUUCUCCAGACUCCAAGAGAUAUUGAUCAACAGCCUCGACACUUGCAGCGACGAGACCAGCAUCUGAUACGAUAUAAUGCACAAACUCGGCACGGAAUCGAUAAGACUCGGUUAGAUUACAAAUUUUUUUUCAAACAUUCUUUUUUUCUUUCCAAUCACAAUAAAACAUCAUAAUAUUUUCAAAAAUAAAAAUAAGAGAUUCCCCUUUCAAAAGCAGACACCCAUGAUUCUGAAAUUGGAGCUUUUAACCCAGAAGAUCAAAGAAGAUGAAGAAGAAAAAACCCAACCCCUGACCCGUUCGAAAAUAAGAGGAGAAACCACCGAAGAAUGAGGGCAUGAUUUAGGAUUUACUUACUUGAUUUUCCUAAAAAUCAAGAAUCAUCGGAGGGUGGAGGUUUGGUGUCGGCGGUGGUAACUCGUCAAGUGGACUGAAUCUUACAACGGCGACGUCGGCCAGACAACCCCUUCACAGUUAGAUUGCUUCCCCUCCGGGGUCUUGCAUAGUUGCAAAUUUGCAAUUGUAGGUGGUGUCAUCUGUCGGCGGUCUUGACAACAAUGGUGGUGUGCGAGUGUGGGAGAUUGGGAGCCCAAAUUGGUAAAGUAAAAAAAUGCAUUUUAUAUGGAUUUACAUUGAUGAUAUGAGAUAGGAUUUGAUGGUAACAUAUUAAAUUAAAUUAAAUGAUUGAGUCCAAAAUGAUCUGGAUGGUAUGAGAUGGGAUUUAGUGAAAAAUUAAAUGUAUUUAUAUGGCAGAUUGAGAAUUAAAUCCACAAUUCUUAGUAUUAUUAUAAAUAGCUUUGAGUUAAAUGUGAAAAAAAUUUAUUAAUUUUUUAAGCUUAUUAAGUUUAUAUCUAUUUUUUUUAUAUAUAAUUUACAUAAUAUUUUUAUAAUUUUUUUGAAAUUUCUAAUUAUCUUAUUUUGCGUAUUGCUUGAUAUCGAAUCAAGAUGUCGAGACCAACAUAUCUCGAGAUCAUCCGAGUCAAUGAUCGAUAUCGCGACUUUGAACUAUGCUCAUCUCCAAUCCCUCAAUAGUGAUGAAAAAUAAGGGCAACGCAAUUACCUUUUUUAUUAUUAUCAGUUCAAAAUAAUACAUGUAUUAUAAUAUAAUUUUUUUAAAAUAUUUUACAAAAAAAUAUAUGUGGACCCCGUAUUUAGGCUCAUGCGCUUCCAUUCGAUGGCAAACUCGAUUUUAUUUUGAAAAUGAUUUUAUUUAUUAAAAAAUGACUUGGAGUCGCCACUUAUUUUUGUUUUAUUUUUAAAGGGUAAAGAAAAUAAGAAAGAAAACCCUAUGUGUGACUACUUAUUUUGAAAAAGGUGGUCUGUGAAAAACCGAAUCAGGUUCGGGGGUCAGGUUACUUAUUGGGAAGGUACAGUAAAAACCGUAGCACCCCUUUAAGUUCCCAAAGUCGGGUCUCUACUAAUAAAAUGAAGCUAACACGACAAUGAAUAAGAAAAAUAAUGAAUAUUGACAUGAUCACAUAUUGAAAGCCAAAACAUAUAAGGAUGAUGGUCAGAGUGAGAAAAAAUGCAUACCUGAUCAGCAAGCGGUAACGCGCUAUCAUAAAAUGAGGUUAGUGCACAAAUAAUGGACAUAAAACAUAGCUCACAUGCCACUGAAUCGAGUACAAAAUCAUCAGAUAUCACAAUUAAGUUAAAUUUAUUUUUCGAGGAAACAAUCACUGAUGUUGGGCCCCCACUGUAGACCCUCAAAUUUGUCCCUUUAGCACAUGUCUUUGAGUUCGUUUUCAGUACUUCAAAAUAGUUCCUUGGUGGCCCAUGGCUACUCAUACCACUUACCUUUUUCUGAGUCACCUCGGAGAUUUUGGUCGAGGGAUUAUCUGACCCAUUAUUGUGACCCUUGGCAACCCUAUUUUAGACUUAGGCUUUUCGUUCAUUUUUAGGAUAGCUUUUAGGGUAGCUCAUUUAGGCACCCUAGGCCCACUUAGGCACUUAGGCCCAUUUAGGCACCCUAGAUCCACUUAGGCACUUAGGCCCAUUAGGUCCACCUUGGCCCACUUAGUCUCACCUUGGCCCAUUAGUCUUUGUUUUUAGUAUGACUUAUAUGGUUGUAUGACGCAUUUAUCUCAUUUACUUAUUUAUUUAUCUUUAUUUUUUAUUAUUACUAACCACUUUUAUUUGAUCAUUUAUUAUGGUUUUAUUUAUUCAUUUGUUUUGAUUUAUUUUCAUUAUUAUCAAUCAUUUUUUAGUUAUUUAUUUAUUUAGUAUUCUUACUUAUUUAUUUAUUAUCUUGUUAUUUAUUCAUUUAUCUAUUAUUAUCAUUUUAUAUUCUCCGAUUUAUUUAUUUAGUUAUUUAUUUAUUUUAUUAUUUAUUAUCUAUUUUAUUAUUUAUUUAUUUAUUUAAUUUAAUAAUUUGAAAUUUUUAUGGAAGAAGUCUACCAUUGGAUAAGUUUUUGAAAACGGUAAAACUCUUUAAAUGAUAUGCAUGGAUUGUGGGUGAUAUGCGUGGAUUGGUAUUGUUUGAAAUUAAAAAAAAAUGAGUUUUUCCGGUGCAUAAGAUAAAAUCUGGAGGGAGGAAGACUCCUCACGUAGGAGGACUAUUAUUUGCUAUAAAAAAGCUCUAACAGAUAGGUAUAAAGGGAGGACUUUCGGCACAUAGAAAAAAAAAAAAAAAAGAGAGAGAGGCGGAAAAAUUGGAUUUUCAGAGAAGACUUUCUAGUGAGAAGCUGUCGGUGGAGAAGAAGGAGAGGGCGGUGGAAGAAAUCUCAGACGACAAACCAGUGGGAUCUCCUUGCCAGAGGAGAGCGUUCCUCGGUAUGUUUGUUGAGAACUCCUUACUUAUUGAUAUUAUCACUUUGUUCUGUAUCCUCUCUGGUUAGUGUUCUUUUACCAUUGUUUUUUUGUUAGGAUAUGAAAGUGAUAUUGGUCUUCUCUUCUCUCAUAUUCUUUUAGUUUCAUCUAAUCAUAAAUCUGAACGUAGUCUCAAUCACACCACUGGUCUGCGAAUCUAUCGACUUCAGAAAGAAAUGGGAUCCCAUUUAAUGUCUAGUUUCCUUGUUUAUUUUGUUAUGGAUAUCCUGUAUUUUGUUUCGUUUACUACUCUACAUCUAGUAUCCCGAUCCAUGUCCCUGUUGUUGGCUCACAUCUUUGAAUUUACUCCGGACGUUUGGUUUCGUGUUCUGAUUUGCACUUGAGAGAGAGGGUUCAGUACAUGACAAGCCAUAUAUCGUGUUAAAUGGAAAUUUGGAUUUUUUUUUCACUGGAGAUUUUAGAUUUCAAAAAUUGGUUUGCAUAGGAACUCUUCCCGAAGUCGGACCUUCGACAAGCCAUUCAAUUCCUAGUCAUUCCUAAUCUCUAGCAUUCCUCUAUCUGAAUUUCAGAUAGAUUUGGUUACCCACUUCCCGAAAACACUAGAAACUGAGUCCACUCCUUUUAGGUCACUGCUUUCUCAUCAUUCGCGGGAUGGGUCUUCCACAUCUGCUUGUGUUCCUGUUCCUGACAUGAAGACCCUAACUAGUUCGUUGCGAUCUUCUCAUUUUGAAGCCCUAGAUGAUCAAAGUUUGGUUCCUACUUCGCCAUGGUCUUGGAACAGAGAAACUAAACCACCAUUCUCUUCAUACCUUCCUCGAGAAAUUGAACCCACUAUGGUGGGUGCUGGGCUUGUAAAUCUAGGCAACACAAUGCUUUCUUAAUGCAGUGCUCCAAUGCUUCACGCACACUGUCCCCCUUGUCCAGAGCCUUCGUUCUUGCAAUUAUGCCAUGCCUUGUCAUAGUUUGUGUUUCUUCCAUUGGUUUCUGUUUAUAUUAAAGAAUGAUCCGACUUUGUUAGUUCCAUUGUAAUAUCCAGAAGUUCCUUCUUCUUUCUUCCAUGUUCAAGCCUGUUGAAAGUGCAUGUAUGAUACAUGGCUUUGAAUGAUUGCCCAUCUACGUGUUUCCCUUCCCCUUGCCAUCCUUUUGCUAUAUCUUAUAGCCUUUGUUCAUGGUUUGUGGGUCGGUUUGCAAGAACGUCUUAUCGUUUGCAAUGAUUAGCACCCGAGCCAUCCUCAUUUGGCUGAUCAAUGUCACUGGGGAAGUCCUUGGAGGGCGGUUGCUACUCUUGAUAUUACAGGUGAUAUGGUGGUAUUUGUGGGUUUUGUUGAGGGUAUUUGGGUUCAGAUCGAAACUGCCCAUCUGAGGUCCUGGAUGAAAGAAUCAAUCCUGUGUCAGUUGUUUGUCUCAAUUAUCUAUAAGAUAGACAAGUGUCCUUAUUAGCAACAGGUGAAAGGAUGGGUAUGCAGAUAGAUCCAAGCCAAGUUGGAGAGUGGUGUCGGACACGCGCUUGAUGAAGGAAACAUUGAGGUUCUUGGAUAUAAACAUGGUCCUACCAUCAGAUCUGAUGUGACAACCAAUAUGUUGUGUCACAAGGAAGAAAUAUUUGAACCAAUACUUCUCUGCAUGGCCAUGCGAAUUCCGAGCAUAUAUACUCCUCGACUGGGACGACGUUCAUAAUGUUGACCACGUGUGAACUAUUUUUUGAAGGUGGGAAUUUUGCGAAUUCAUUUCAGCGCCCAAUUUUGUGUGUAUUUGAUCAGACUUUGGGCUAUCAGUUGGAAUCCAGCACGACUUUAGUUAUCGGCCGCUCGUUCACGAUGUGCUAGAUUGGAAGCUUAAUAGGUUGGAGUAUGGGGCAGACCUCUAGCACUGCUAGGUUCGCCUGACACAGGUGGACAGAUUGCUUAUAUGCUGGAUCAAGUGCGUGCCUUGGAAAAUGAGAUGCUUCUUAAGAUACAAAAGCAAGGACUUGAUGUCAUUCCUAAAAUUCUCAUAGUUACCCGACUUAUACCUGAUGCAAAGGGGACCACACGCAAUCAGAGACUUGAAAGAAUCAGUGGUACAGAACAUACACAUAUUUUUUGAGUGCCAUUUAGAAGAGAAAAUAGUAUUCUGCGGAAAUGGAUCUCAAGGUUUGAUGUAUGGCCAUAUCUGGAAACCUUUGCAGAGGAUGUAUCAAAUGAAAUUGCUGCCGAGCUACAGGGAGUUCCAGAUCUGAUCAUUGGCAACUAUAGUGAUGGGAAUCUUGUUGCAUCUUUACUAUCUUAUAAGCUGGGAAUUACGCAGUGCAAUAUUGCUCAUGCAUUGGAGAAAACAAAAUAUCCAGAGUCUGAUAUAUAUUGGAGAAAAUUUGAGGAUAAGUACCAUUUCUCAAGCCAAUUUACUGCUGAUCUAAUUGCAAUGAACAAUGCAGAUUCUAUAAUCACCAGUACAUACCAAGAGAUUGCCGGAAGCAAGAAUCAUGUUGGACAGUAUGAGAGCCACACAGCCUUCACUCUUCUAGGGCUGCACCGAGUUGUUCAUGGCAUUGAUUUUUUAUCCCAAGUUUAAUAUCAUAUCUCCAGAAGCAGACAUGCCCAUAUACUUCUCAUACUCAGAAAAAGAAAUGGUUGAAAGUCACAUGCAGAAACUCGUCCAUAUGGAAAACUUGAAAAUAUGCACAUAUUCCUUUUUGAUCCUUGCUGCCAGUUUUCACUCAACCACUGACCCUUCAACUUCAAAAAUUCAUUUUGACAACUUUAGGAUAUCUGUAAAAAAUUUCCAGAAAUUUUAUGACUUUCCUCACUUCUUGAACUUGAAUUUGAGGUUUUGUUUGAGUUAGAAAGUCAUUCUGAGAUAGAAGAUAUAAAUGAGUCUUUAGGGGGACUCCGUUUUCACAUAGUUCUGGACACCCAAGAUCUUUUGGAAAAAAUAAAAUACUAGAGGACUUUUUAAAAUUGAUUCAAUAUUUUUUCUCAAUUAUGAGCUUCUUGAAAUUGAUUUUAGACACAUAAAAUAUUAGAAAAUAUGCAUUUUUGAGGGAGAUAUGAUUUUUCAAAGUUGUGCCUACUGCGCAUGCUGGAGUUUGUACAUCUGAUUACAUUUAUAGUUUUAAAAAUAUUUUUGAGUACUAUUCGACCCCGAAUUUAUUUUUUAUGUGAUAUAGACAUUUUGAAAUAUGUGUGUGAUUUUUUUUUAUGAUUUUAUAGGAUCAUUUAUUAUUUUAAAAAAAUUCAUUUAUGCACGUCACUUUUCCUUAUCUAAUCUGGACUUUGUAGAACCUUUAGGUGCCUUUGCAAUAAUCUGUCUUUUGAAUGAGUGUUUGGCUUUUGGUAUGUUAAUCUAGGUGUGUAGGAGUUGUUUCCUGAAACUUUUUGUAAUCAAAUUCCACUCUAAGCCAUUUUUUUAGAAAUUGUUUUACGAUGCUUCAUUUUCUAACCGCAUGCUGAUGGUUUUAUACCUUACUUGAAAUUGUUAUUAUUUUUGGAGUCAUUUAAUUUGUCUUAGCUCAAUUUUGGCUUUGAAACUGUAUAUUAGACAUAAUGGAUAUUUCAUAUAAUUUAUGCUUGCCCUAACCAAUCUAGCAUUUUUCGAGGAAUCUUAUAAAAUAUACUUGCUAUCCAGGUACGUUCUCUAUCCUCUAAUUCCAAAAUUCUAUGAAAAUGCAUGCUAUCAUGAGCUAUAUCCAUGCUUUGAUUUAAUCCUUGGGUGCUUAGAUGUAUGUUUGACUUGCUUGGAUAAAAUGCAUGUUGUGUGCUAUAUCUCUAUACUAACUUUGAUGUCUUGUGAUAGCGCUUGAAAAGUCGUUCAGGUACGUACUUCGAUUUUCUCUCAUGGUUUGUUUUCUUAUUAGGCAUGCAAUAUUUGAAAUCACCUAGUCUACUUAGGUAUCCAUGAUCAACCAUUUAAUUGCCACGCUUCCCUUAACUUAGUCAGUAGAGACCUUUUUAGGGCUUAGAGGGGUGCUACCUUCUAGAGGUACCUUCCCAAUAAGUAACCUGAUCCCCAGACUUAGACUCGGGUUUCUCAAAGACAUGCUUUUUCCAAAACUAUGGAGUCACUUUUUAGGGUUUUUCUUUCUUGUUUUAUUUUCCCUUCAAAAUAAAAAUAAAAUAGGUGACGACUCCAACUUUUUUUUUUUCAAAAAUCAAUUUUUCACAAAUAAAAAAGCGAGUCUCGCCGAUCGAGUGGGGGCGCACAUGAAAACUGCGGGUCCACACCCACCAAAACCCAAUUUAUUCCUGCAUGAAUUAAUUCCGUAAAUUCCAUCACUUGGAAUUACAUAAUUUAAUUCACACUUAUUUUUAAAACGUUUUAGAAAUCAUGGAAGUUAUGGAAAUACCUGCCGAAGAAAAUGGCAACAAAAUUUUAUUAAAAAUGUGAUUUUUGGGACUUGAAAGCUCUAAGGAUGAAGAAUCUGGAAAAUAAUGCGAAAAAAAUGAGAUUUGGAAAAAAAUAUUUUUUUAAACCAAGAAUGGUGAAAAUGAGAAAAAGAAAAAAGAAAAAAAAAGGAAGUGACAUGUGGCAUAAGGGUGGCCAUGCUAAGGUGGCCAUGCACCAUUCCAAACAAAUCUAACCCCAUUUGCUUUUAUUUGAUCCUGAUCUUAAUCCCAUAUUUUGGAUGGUUCCUUCUGGUCAUGUGGACCAUGUUCUUAGUGAAAAUAGCAUGCUAUUGGGAUAAAACAUUUUAUAACUUUGACAUGUUCAAGAAUAAAAAAAAAAGUCAAUGAUAGGGAAGGAGGACAAGAUGUGUAGCGACCCCAAGUUUAGAGUAGGUUUGGUCCAUAAGAGGUCAUUAGCAAAGAACAUAUUUUCUUCUUGUACUUUCGAAAGUGUUAUAUUUUGAGUAAUGAGAGUAUUUCUUUUCCUUUUUUCUUUUUCUCUAAUACAUUAUUGGUGAUUAUUCUUCGCCAGAAUACCCACAAGGCUAUUAGAUGUUUCAUUGCAAAUAUGGUUUUAUAUGAUAGAAUUAUGAUUGAACUUAUAAAACAUAUUUUCUACAUAUUGUUUAGCUGGGCAUCCCAACUACCUCUCGGUAAUAUCCUCUUAACAUAGGAAGUAUAAACUAAUAGCAAGUGUUAAUCUUUCCCAUUCUUACACAAGAAAGACCCAAGGAGAAGGUAUAUUGAGAAAUUGCAUAUCUAUGUUCCCAAACAAUAGAAAAUUCAAUAUAUGACACUUCACUCUCUACUUUUCUUUCCUACAUUUUCUCAUAACCCAAAUAUGCUCACCUCUCAUUCUAAGAUCCAACCAUUGAAAAACAAUUACAAAAAUCCUAAUAAAAGAGACAGAUCAUACUACAAUUACACUUUCUUACAAGAAAUUGGAGUGUAGAAGGUAUAACAAUUGAGUGAAACAAAUAAAAACCAACCUCCUUUAACACACCUGCUAAUGAAAUACUUAUAGAGACACUAUAAAUUCCUCCAGACUCCAAAAGAUACUGAUCAACAGCCUCGGCACUUGCAGCGACGAGACCAACACCUGAUAUGAUAUAAUGCACGAACUCGACACAGAAUCGGUAAGACUCAGUUAGAUUACAGAAAAAUUUUCAAACAUUCUUUUUUUCUUUCCAAUCAUAAUAAAACAUCAGAAUAUUUUCAAAAAUAAAAAUAAGAGAUUCCCCUUUCAAAAGCAAACACCCAUGAUUUUGAAAUUGGAGCUUUUAACCCAGAAGAUCAAAGAAGACGAAGAAGAAAAAACCCAAUCCCUGACCUGUUCAGAAAUAAGAGGAGAAACCACCGAAUGAUGAAGACAUAAUUUAGGAUUUACUUACCUGAUUUUCCUAAAAAUCGAGAAUCAUCGGAGGGUGGAGGUUUGGUGUCGGCGGUGGUAACUAGUCAAAUGGACUAAAUCUUACAACGGGGACGUCGGCCAGGCAACCCCUCACAGUUAGAUUGCUCCUCCUCCGGGGUCUUUCAUAGUUGCAAAUUUGCAAUUGCAAGUGGUGUCAUUUGUCUGCGGUCUUGACAGAAAAGGUGGUGUGCAAGGUGUGGGAGAUUGGGAGCCCUAAUUGGUAAAGUAAAAAAUGCAUUUUAUAUGGAUUUACAUUGAUGAUAUGAGAUAGGAUUUGAUGGUAAAUUAUUAAAUUAAAUUAAAUGAUUGAGUCCAAAAUGAUAUGGAUGGUAUGAGAUAGGAUUUAAUGAAAAAUUAAAUGUAUUUAUAUGGCAGAUUGAGAAUUAAAUCCCCAAUUCUUAGUAUUAUUAUAAAUAGCUUUGAGUUAAAUGUGAAAUUUUUUUGUUUUAUUAAUUUUUUAAGCUUAUUUAAUUUCUAUCUUUUUUUUUAUAUAUAAUUUACAUAACAUUUUUAUAAUUUUAUGAAAUUUCUAAUUAUCUUAUUUUGUGUAAUGCUUGAUACCGAAUCGAGAUGUCAAGACCAACAUGUCUCGGGAUCAUCUGAGUCAAUGAUCGAUAUCGCGACUUUGAACCAUACUCGUCUCCAAUCCCUCAACAAUGAUGAAAAAUGAGGCCAACGUAGUUGCCUUUUUUAUUAUUAUCAGUUAAAAAUAAUGAAUCUAUAUCCAUGUAUUAUCAAGAAUAAAUAAGUUUAUAUUUAUAAAUUUUUAUUAUAAAUUUAUAUUUACACAUAUCCUUGAUUUUCCUCAAGGUUUUAUUUUUAAUUGAUUACAAAGCAUUAGUACUUAUUUAAUUUAAAAUGUAUUAAAUAAAUAUUAAUAUUAUAUAAAUAAAUAAAAGUUGAAUUUGAAUAAAAAAUUUAUAUAUAUAUAUAUAUAUAUAUAUAUAUAUAUAUAUAUAUAUAUAUAUAUAUAUAUAUAUAUAUAUAUAUAUAUCAUAUUCUACAUGAAUAUGAAUCUAUUAUUAAAGAUACAUGGUAAUAAGUGUUAAUAUUAUAUAAUCAAAUGAGAGAGUACAAAAAUGUUCUAUUAAUAACAAUACAUUAUUAUAAUAAUAAGAUACUUAAUAUCAUGUAAAUAAAUAAAAGUCGUCAUAAAUUUAAAUUUGAAUUUAUAUUUUAAAACCCAUCACAUUUAUUUUUAUUUUUUUAAAAUUUUAAGAAUUUUUUCUCCACUUCAAAUAGCAAUAAUAGUGUUUAUUCAUACUAAUUAUACUUAAAAUUGAUGAAAAUUAUGAAAAAAGAAAAAGAAGUAAAAACCCAUACCCUUCAAAUUUAUAUUUGUUUUAAUUUUAAAAUUUUUUUCUCUACUUCAAGUAAUAAUAAUAAUAAUGUUUAUUCAUACUAAUAACAAUAAAAUUAAUGAAAAUGAUGAAAAAAAAAAUAGUAAAAACUUCAAAUUUGUAAUAAUAAUAAUAUUUAUUCAUACUAAUAAACAAUUCUUCAUAAUCAUAACCUACUAAUUUCCAACAAUUAUAAUUGAAAUUAUUUUGAAUAAACAAUGUAAUUUGUAUUUGAAGUUGAAAAAAAUUGUGAAAAUUAAAUGGGCAGGGUAGGGCUUUAAUUUUUUUUAUUUUGUUUUAAAUUUUUCCCUCAUAAAUUUAAUUUAAUUUAAUUUUUUUUUUAUGAAUUCUCAGUGAAAUUAUUAUGAAUCAACAAUUUUAUUGACAUUUAAAGUUUUAAAAAAAAAUCUAUGAAUUUUAAAUAAAUUUUGGAAGGUAUUUGUAAUGGGGUAUUUUUAUUUGCACUUUCCUAUUAUGUUGAAACAUUGUUUGGUUUCAACAUUGUUUAUUCAAAAUAAUUUCAAUUAUAAUUAUUGGAAAUUAGGAGGUUAUGAUUAUGAGGAAUUGUUUAUUAGUAUGAAUAAACAUUAUUAUUAUUAUUUGAAGCAGAGAAAAAAUUCAUAAUGCAUAGGGAGACCACAGAUUCUAUGGAUUCAACAAUUGAUAAGCCUACUUGUUUAUGGUAUUGUCCCUAACCAGCUAUUCCAUUUUUGAAUUUACUUUUGGUGCAUUUAGUUUGUAACUUGUCUUAUGUUUUACUUAUUUUCAAUUUUUUUUUAAGGUUUAGAUAGUUUUUUUUUUUUUUUAUUUAGAAAAAAAACCUCUUUUGAGCCAUAACUUGAUUCUCUUGCUAUUCUUAUUUUUAACCAUUUUUUCAAUGAGAAAUUAGGUCUUUUUGGCGGAAUUGUAGGAAGUGGAUUGAAUCGAAAAAUUUAUUUGGGCCAGAUUGUGUUUCACUAGAGUCCUGAGAGAUGCAGCUUAGUGAGCUUAUAAUAAAAAGAUAGGCAUUUAAACGGACCAUACUAGUCUGAGUCAUUCUUAGUUUGGCCUAGUGGGCCUUCAGAAUUGCUCCAACAUGAAUUUCAACGUCAACUUCAAUUUUUAAAAUUAAUAAUUAUACAUUUGUUUUAACUAUUUAUAACAAAUAUUAUCUUUGAAAAGUAAAUUUCAAUUAAUUUUUAUAUUUAAAUAAAAAUUAUUAUUAUUUUAAUUAUUUGUAUCCAAAUCAUACUCAAUAUAUUUGAUUUAUCUUACAAUGUUUCAACAUAAUAGGAAAGUGCAAAUAAAAAUACCCCAUUACAAAUACCUUCCAAAAUUUAUUUAAAAUUCAUAGAUUUUUUUUUUUUUUUUUACUUUAAAUAUCAAAAAAAUUGUUGAUUCAUAAUAAUUUCACUUAGAAUUCAUAAAAAAAUAGGAGGAAAAAAAAUUAAAAUAAAAAAUUUUAAGAUCCCUACCCUUCCCAUUUAAUUUUAACAAUUUUUUUUUUCUGAGCAUUGAUUUGUUGAUCGGUUAUCAAGGGCCACUCAUUUGCUUUGUUGGAUCUAACUCUUUAUAAGCAUGCUCUGUUUUGGCUUCGUUUUUUUUAUCUUUGCUUUCUCUUGUAAAUAUCUGAUGCAUUGUUCCUUCUCUGAACUUGAGAUAUAAAAACCAUGCUCUUGUUCCUUGUGGAUUCCACCUGCUCCUAGCUCUUUGACAAUCCAUGAAAUAGAGCUAAGUUCAUACUCUAUUUUUAUGUUUUUAUUAUUCUUUGUUUGUUGUUGAUGGUGGGAUGAUAUUAUCAAUGGCCAAGUUGCUGGGAUUGGAGGAGUGAGGUUAUGGGGAAGUGAACUUAAUGGAGGAUUUUUGUGAUCAUAUCUAUGCUCCAAUCUAUUGGUUCAAAAUGUUGGCCACGAGACUGCAUUGAAGUUUUGGUAUUUGGCAUCACUUUGCCAUCUGGGUUCAGUAAGCAACACAGUGGCAAUAAAGAUGCAUUGGUGUUAUUAAUUUGGGUGAAUAAGUUGGUUGUAUGAAUUGUGAAAGUUCAAGUUGUGCUUUGAGGAGAGUAUAUCUUGCAUCCUACUAUUUUAAUUAUUAAUUUUGGAUGUUGAAAUAUGAUGUGAUCGCACUUCAUAUGCAUCAUGGUUGUGUGAGGAAAAAAAAAGAUUAAAGAAAUGGUUGUGUGAAAUGGAAAUAAGAAUGAAAAGACCCUGGAUAGGGCAAAAAUGAAAAGAAAAGAAAAGAAAAAAAAAUGAAAUGAUCCUAGAGAGGGCGAAUUAAGAAGGAAGUGAGAUCUCUAAGGUGAAAGACCCAAAAGUUUACUUCGGGAAGACUCCAAAUGGGGAGUAUAUUUAGGUAUAGACGUGUAUCCUUUGGUGAAAGUUUGAGAACCACAAUGCAUUGUGUGAUUGCGUGUAAGCAUUUGCAUCAUAAUUGCAUUUGGAAGAAGGAUUUGUAUUAUUUAUCAAGUGUAUGUUUGAAUAUAUUAUUCAAAACUAAAUGACUUGUUUAUUUUCUAAAUUUAGAAUUGUUGAUAUACUAAACAUAUGAUUGAAUAAGGAAAAUGAUAAUUUUGAUUGUUUUAAAUUUGUAUGGUUGAGGUUUCUUUUAGUGUAUAUAUUGUAAAUGUAAUAUUAUAUCUUGACAUAUGAUUGUGUUAUUGACCUAGAAUUUCUAACCUAUUUGGGUGUAAAACACCCUACUAAGCAACGUGAAAAUACUCACCCCUUUAUUUUCUAAAAUUUUUAGAUGUAGAUAUAGUUUCAGAGGGGCCACAAGAAGUUCAAGAAGCGUUCUAGAAAGCAAAAGAACUAUAAUAAUAGUUGUUUUUAAAUUUAUAUUUCUCCUUUUACAUGUACCAAUUUGAAUUAUAUGGGCUUUUGUAUGUUAAAUUAUAUUUUGUUAGAUUGUAAAACAUUUUUGAAAAUAUUUUUUUUGACUUAGAGAUUAUUGUAAAUAUUUGAGCUUUUGGGCAAAAAGAUGACUGGUGGAUUUAUUAUACUUGUGAAUAAGAGAUAAUGUGAUGGUUGGUUUUAGAAAAAUAAAAUAUUACAGUAAAUCUUAACUUAAUAAAUUUAUUUAAAAUUAGACGUUUUAUUAUUUAAAAAAAAAAAGUUUCAAAGUGUUUUGAUUGAUUGUUAGUGUGGAUAGGAAUAACCCUUAGGGUCAAACCCUUGGGCCGACUAUGUAGGUGAAUACCCAAUUGUACCCACAUGAAUCAGCCGUCAAUCUUACAAAUCCAAGGGCAAAGUAGUCAUUCCAAUUCAAACCAAACCAAGCCAUGAUUCAUGAAAACUGCUGGCCACAGCUCCUGGUUUUUCCCAAACUUUGGGCACCAAAUCCAAACCCAUCUCUUGCUAUAUAACCAACCCACCUUCACCUCAUCUUCUUCAUCACAACACAACUACCUUGAUUUAUAGAGAGAUCUUCUAUAUCCAUUCACUACUCAGAAUCACCUCUUUCUAUUGUUGAUUGUUGUUUGGGUUUCGGAGAAAGAAAAUUAAGAAGAUGAGUCAUAUGGGGAAAGCUUGGUUAGUGGCAGCAAGUGUGGGAGCAGUGGAGGCACUCAAGGAUCAGGGCUUCUGCAGAUGGAACUACACUCUGAGGUCUAUUCACCAGCAUGCCAAGACCAACCUCAGGUCCUUUGCUCAGGCCAAGAAGCUCUCUUCUUCCUCUUCCGCCAUGGUUUCCAGCAGAGUGAGAGAGGAGAAGGCCAAGCAGUCAGAGGAGUCUCUGAGGACUGUCAUGUACUUGAGCUGCUGGGGACCCAACUGAAGAAGAAGAUAUGAAGAUGGAUGAUCAUCAGCCUGCUCUUGAAGCAUCCAGGGAGGGCAUAUUCCAAGAAAGUAACGGAAAAUUGAGAUGAAGAAGCUGCAGUGAAGCAAUUUCAUGGAAUUUUUGCUUGGAGACUCACGAAUUACAACCAAUUGCUCAGGGUUGGGAAAAUUGGAAUUGGUGUAAAUUGUGACUGGGUCUUUGUAAAACCCACAUCAUUUAGCUAGAAAAGCUUUGAAAAUACAUUUUAAUUUAAUUUAUAAUUUCUAUGUUAGAAUAUUAGAUCCAAUUCCUAAAAAGCUUAUCAGCCUUGUAUAUAUGGCUAAGCAGGUCAACUUCCCAAGCUCAAGCGCAUUAAGAAAUUCUCAGACCUACCUUUUUUUUAUAGAAUUUUUGGGAAGUUUUACAGCAAUUGAAAACAAAUCUUAAAAGGGUCGGGAAAUUAUUUGAAAAAAUAUGGCAGAUUUGGUCACAUAGGUGAUAAAGAGGUGAUAAAGUUGGUACAACGCCCAAAAUUAAACUCUCAAUUAAUUUAAUUGAACAAAUAAUCAUAAAAGAGAUUUUUUUAAUUUAUGAUUUUUAUUUUUUUAUUUAUACUUUUUGAAAAAGAAAAUUCCAGUGAAAUAUGUUCGUGUAGACUGUGUGGCAGGAUGCAGACUAAACAAAGAAAUUGACACGUGCUUGAAGUCCGGCCCUACACAUAGCCCCAUUGGAAAACAGCGGUUUCAUCCUCCGUACUCUUUGGGCGUUAAGUGGGUUCACAAACCAAACAAUGGGCUGCCCCAACACAGCAACACUUAGACUGAGGACAAACUAUGUAGGUGAAUACCCAAUUAUACCCACAUGAAUCAGUGGUCAAUCUUUCAAAUCUAAGGACAGAGUAGUCAUUCCAAUUCAAACCAAACAAAGCUAUGAGAACUGCUGGCCACAGCCUCUGGUUUCCCCAAAACUUUGGGCAGUAUUCCUCAAAGAAUCAAGUGGGCUAGAGUUAAUAACUACGUCCACCAUGGUUAGAUUAUUGGGGGCUAGAGUUAAUAACUUCAUCGACCAUGGUUAGAUUAUUGGUAUCUCGAUGGGAGAAGUUGUUUUGAUGGAAAAACAUUGUAUUUUAUUAUUUUGUAAAUUUUAUCAUCACUCAUAUAUAUUAUUUUUUAUUUAAAAUUAAAUAAAAAAUUAAAAUUCUUAGAAAAUACGAAAAGAAAGUAUAUCACAAUCUUUAUUUUCUAUUCUAAAAUUAAAAAAUAAAAAUAAAAUUAUGAAGAAAAAAGUACAUUCCAACUUACAUUAAUUAAGGGAUGAUAUACUGUGUAAAUAAAAAAUAUAAAAAAUAAUUAAAGGUUAAAUAAAUCACUUAAUAAAUCGGUAGUAUGGGUUGAUGGUUUCAUUAUUAGACUAUAACAAGGAUUUUCUUUUUCUUUUUCUUUUUAAAUGCAUUUCAUGGUGGUGUAGAAUUUUUUUGUAUAAGGGUUUUUAAAUUGUAAUAUAGAUUAUACAUAUAGUUGUGUUUUGUCCUAAAUUCUGACUUCCAAGUUUUCAACAUUAUAUAAAAAUUCCUAAAAUCACCUACUUCGUAGGUUUUAUAACAUUAUAUAAAAAGCCAUGAAUUCACCUAUUAGAAAAAUGUUAUUUGGUGCGCUAUCAUUACCAUGACCUCAAUCUCGUGCAAAGAUACCGAGUGGUUACAAAUAGUAAAAAAUAAAUAAUAAAAACAAAAUAUAUUCAUUAUUAUUAUUAUUAUUUUGUUCUUUUAUCAUCCAUUAUUCACAUCUUAGCAUAUGAUAGAAAAGAUGAUAAAAGAUUAUUUAUGUUAUAUGAUUUUAAGUGAAAUGAUCAAAAUAUUUAAAGAAAAAAUUAAUAAUUCAUGAAGAAUUUUUGGUAAAUUUAUAAAUUUGUAAUAAAUAUUGAUAAAUGAUAAACAAAGUAGUUUUUAAAGUGGUUGCAGCAGUUAAACAUUGUAUCUUAUUAUGAUUUUCCACCCUCAAAACUUAAUAAUAAAAUUUCAUAACAAAUUUUUAUCUAUUUGAAACUUUUGAAAUGUGAAAUCUUUUCUUGGACAUUUUUAUAUAUACAUUUGUGAAUUUUAUCUUUAUUUUUUAUUUAUAAAAUUAAAGGAUAAAAUUAAAAUGUUAAAAAUAAAAGAGAAGUAUAUCCCAACUUGCAUCAAUUAAGAGAAGAUAUAUUAAGCAUGUGAAGAAUGCAAAAAAAAUUAAUGAUAAAAUAAAUCACUUAGUAGAUAGUAUUUAAUGAUUUACAUUAUUAGAUUGUAGCAAUGAGUUAUAUUUUUAUUUUUGUGUAUAGGGGAUUUUAAAUUAUAAUAUAUAUUUUUUUAUUUUUGAGUUAGUUUUCUUUGUUGAUACAUAGUUUUUUUUUUGUCUUGGAUAUUGUGUUAUCAACAGUUUUAAAAGAAAUAAAAAUUAUUUAUCCCACAUCGAUUCAAAACUAAAAAUAUUAUAUAUAUUUAUUAAAACUUUGAUACUCUUAAAAAAUACAAGUACAACCAAUAAGCAAGCAUAGGGAUGGCAACGGGGUGGGUAUGGGACAUGCCACCCCUACCCCAUUUCCAUCCCGGUUAUAUAUUUUUUUGCCCAUCCUUGUCCCAAACUCGGGGCGGGGCGAGUUGGUGUCCCCCUUACCUAUUUACAAAAGAACUGAUAAUCUCAUCUCCGUCCCAAAUGUAUUUUCGGGAAUUAUGCUUUUACAAAACAUAGGUCUCUGAAAUUUCAAUAUAUGUUAUAUGGGUUAUCAUAAACACAUUUAAUCAAGCAUUUGUUGUGCAACAAAACUGCAAAUUACACAUAUGAGAACAAAAUGCACAGAUCUACAAAUAAACAACCCAAAAAAUCUCAAAUCCAUAAACCAAAACCAGAAAAUAUGAAAAACAAGACAUUCUAACAAAGCCUCAAAACAUAGUAUUUAAUGAUUUACAUUAUUAGAUUGUAGCAAUGAGUUAUAUUUUUAUUUUUGUGUAUAGGGGAUUUUAAAUUAUAAUAUAUAUUUUUUUAUUUUUGAGUUAGUUUUCUUUGUUGAUACAUAGUUUUUUUUUUGUCUUGGAUAUUGUGUUAUCAACAGUUUUAAAAGAAAUAAAAAUUAUUUAUCCCACAUCGAUUCAAAACUAAAAAUAUUAUAUAUAUUUAUUAAAACUUUGAUACCCUUAAAAAAUACAAGUACAACCAAUAAGCAAGCAUAGGGAUGGCAACGGGGUGGGUAUGGGACAUGCCACCCCUACCCCAUUUCCAUCUCGGUUAUAUAUUUUUUUGCCCAUCCUUGUCCCAAACUCGGGGCAGGGCGAGUUGGUGUCCCCUUUACAUGUUUACAAAAGAACUGAUAAUCUCAUCCCCGUCCCAAAUGUAUUUUCGGGAAUUAUGCUUUUACAGAACAUAGGUCUCUGAAAUUUCAAUAUACGUUAUAUGGGUUAUCAUAAACACAUUUAAUCAAGCAUUUGUUGUGCAACAAAACUGCAAAUUACACAUAUGAGAACAAAAUGCACAGAUCUACAAAUAAACAACCCAAAAAAUCUCAAAUCCAUAAACCAAAACCAGAAAAUAUGAAAAACAAGACAUUCUAACAAAGCCUCAAAACUUAGGGUUUUCUUACCUGGAAAUGAGGAAUCCAUAGAAACCCUAAUAAUUUGUUGUCUACGAAUUUGGUUUUUGGUUUUUAGAGCAAAAAUUGUGCUUUUAGGGUGAAAUGGGAAGAAGCAAUUUAGGAAUAAAUGAGAAAACGGGAAGAAAUGAGAAAAUGAAAGGCCUCUUACAAGCAAAAGAACCCUGAGCAAUUUAGGAAGAAAUGAGAAAACGGGAAGAAAUGAGAGCGAAAGCCCUCUAAUUCUCUCACGAGCGAAAUAACCCUAAAACUUGAGGAAGAAAUGAUUAUAUACGGAGAACUUUUUGGGUAUUUUGUAAUGAUAUAAGGGUAAAUUGGUAAUUCACAUACGGGACGGGGUAGAAACUGCAAAACCCAUCCCUGCCUUAAACCCGAUUCGGGUUUUUAUAUAUUCCCCAAACCCGUUUUAUACCCGAAUAGAAUAUUCUCAUACCCGUCCCAAUAGGGAUGGGGCGGGUGACCCGGAUUACCCAGAAAAUUGUAGUUCCUAAGCAAGCAUUGAGCUAAAUCCUAAUCUCACAUUCCUGCUCGAAACUUUACACUCACAUAAAAACAACUCACCACUUGACUCGAUGGACUAUUCCGUAACUUCUCACUACCAACAACCAGGCACUAUUCAACCUCUCGCUCACUUAUAAAUUCACUCCCUACCUGCAUAUUCAAAACAUAUCUUACUACUAUUCUACUCUACUAUUCUACUUUUCGUGGUUUCAUAUCUCACUAUUAUUCUACUUUUCGCGGUUUCAUAUCUCACUACUAUUCGCGUGUUCAAAGUGUGCAUAUUCAAAGUGUAUCCCUCCUUGAAUUAAUUGUGAAUUAAUUUAGGCUUCAAAGUGUGUUGCUCUACAACAUCCCUCCUAGUCAGGCCUCAAAGUAAGAACAACAACAUCUACAAUAUCUGCCAUGGCCACACAACCAAGGCAUGUGGUAUGCCUCAUUUUCUCAUGUCCUUUUCCCAUUUUGUUCCCUCUUUUCAUCUCCAUUUUGUUUUCAAUAUUCCCUUACCUUACUCAUAUUCUCUAAAAUUAGAUAAAAUUAUUAAUUUGAUCAUAUUUAUCUAACAUUUUUAAUUAGUACUACUAGUAUCUUAUUUUCAUAAAUCUAAUUGAAUUUCCUACUUAUUUAUUUAUUGUUUUCAUGACAAAAAUUCAUCAGCUUUCAUAUCUUUCCUUACAAUUCUGAGUUCAACUGUCCUUGCGAAAUACCAAUAUGAGAAUGUUUCCCCAUUUGCCCAACACAACAUAGGUAUGCAAAUCUCCUUAUUUGCAUCAUUUAUAUAUUUCAUGAUGGUUGUGGCUUAUGAAAUCCUUGAUUCUAAUGGAACUAUCAAAAUUGAAGAAGAUGGAAGAUAUCUCCUUAUUUUGGGUCAUGUUUAGUUCUUAAGUGGAACAGCAGCUGCAACUUUGUUGAUCCUGAUCUUGAUCCCAUAUUUUGGAUGGUUCUUUCUGAUCAUGUGGACCAUGUUCUUAGUGAAAAUAGCAUGCUAUUGGGAUAAAACAUUUUAUAACUUUGACAUGUUCAAGAAUAAAAAAAAAUGCCAAUGAUAAGGAAUGAGGACAAGAGGAGCAACGACCCCAAGUUUAGAGUAGGUUUGGUCUAUAAGAGGUUAUUAGCAAAAAACAUAUUUUCUUCUUGUACUUUUGAAAGUGUUAUAUAAGUGUCAUAUUUUGAGUAAUGAGAGUAUUUUUUUUUCCUUUUUUCUUUUUCUCUAAUACAUUAUUGUUGAUUAUUCUUCGCUGGAAUACCCACAAGGCUAUUAGAUGUUUCAUUGCAAAUAUGGUUUUAUAUGAUAGCAUUACGAUUGAACUUAUAAAACAUAUUUUCUACAUAUUGUUUAGCUGGGCCUCCCAACUACCUCUCGGUAAUAUCCUCUUAACAUAGGAAGUAUAAACUAAUAGCAAGUGCUAAUCUUUCCCAUUCUUACACAAGAAAGACCCAAGGAGAAGGUAUAUUUAGAAAUUGCAUAUCUAUGUUCCCAAACAAUAGAAAAUUCAAUAUAUGGCACUUCACUCUCUACUUUUCUUUCCCACAUUUUCUCAUAACCCAAAUAUGCUCACCUCUCAUUCUAAGAUCCAACCAUUGAAAAACAAUUACAAAAAUCCUAAUAAAAGAGAUAGAUCAUACUACAAUUACACUUUCUUACAAGAAAUUGAAGUGUAGAAGGUAUAACAAUUGAGUGAAACAAAUAAAAACCAACCUCCUUUAACACACCUGCUAAUGAAAUACUUGUAGAGACACUAUAAAUCCCUCCAGACUCCAAAAGAUACUGAUCAACAGCCUCGGCACUUGCAGCGACGAGACCAAUCCUUGGUACGAUAUAAUGCACGAACUCGACACGGAAUCGGUAAGACUCAGUUAGAUUACAGAAAAAUUUUCAAACAUUCUUUUUUUCUUUCCAAUCAUAAUAAAACAUUAGAAUAUUUUCCAAAAGCAAACACCCAUGAUUUUGAAAUUGGAGCUUUUAAACCAGAAGAUCAAAGAAGACGAAGAAGAAAAAACCCAACCCCUGACCCGUUCAGAAAUAAGAGGAGAAACCACCGAAUGAUGAAGGCAUGAUUUAGGAUUUACUUACUUGAUUUUCCUAAAAAUCGAGAAUCACCAGAGGGUGGAGGUUUGGUGUCGGCGGUGGUAACUUGUCAAGUGGACUAAAUCUUGCAACGAGGACGUCAGCCAGGCAACCCUCACAGUCAGAUUGCUCCCCCUCCGGGGUCUUUCAUAGUUGUAAAUUUGCAAUUGCAAGUGGUGUCAUUUGUCGGCGGUCUUGACAGCAAAGGUGGUAUGCAAGGUGUGGGAGAUUGGGAGCCCUAAUUGGUAAAGUAAAAAAUGCAUUUUAUAUGGAUUUACAUUGAUGAUAUGAGAUAGGAUUUGAUGGUAACUUAUUAAAUUAAAUUAAAUGAUUGAGUCUAAAAUGAUAUGGAUGGUAUGAGAUAGGAUUUAAUGAAAAAUUAAAUGUAUUUAUAUGGCAGAUUGAGAAUUAAAUCUCCAAUUCUUAGUAUUAUUAUAAAUAGCUUUGAGUUAAAUGUGAAAUUUUUUUGUUUUAUUAAUUUUUUAAGCUUAUUUAAUUUCUAUCUAUUUUUUUUAUAUAAUUUACAUAACAUUUUUAUAAUUUUAUGAAAUUUCUAAUUAUCUUAUUUUGCGUAAUGCUUGAUACUGAAUCGAGAUGUCAAGACCAACAUGUCUCGGGAUCAUCUGAGUCAAUGAUCGAUAUCGCGACUUUGAACCAUACUCGUCUCCAAUCCCUCAACAAUGAUGAAAAAUGAGGCCAACGUAGUUGCCUUUUUUAUUAUUAUCAGUUAAAAAUAAUGAAUCUAAAUUCAUGUAUUAUCAAGAAUAAAUAAGUUUAUAUUUAUAAAUUUUUAUUAUAAAUUUAUAUUUACACAUAUCCUUGAUUUUCCUCAAGGUUUUAUUUUUAAUUGAUUACAAAGCAUUAGUACUUAUUUAAUUUAAAAUGUAUUAAAUAAAUAUUAAUAUUAUAUAAAUAAAUAAAAGUUGAAUUUGAAUAAAAAAUUUAUAUAUAUAUAUCAUAUUCUUCAUGAAUAUGAAUCUAUUAUUAAAGAUACAUGGUAAUAAGUGUUAAUAUUAUAUAAUCAAAUGAGAGAGUACAAAAAUGUUCUAUUAUUAGCAAUACAUUAUUAUAAUAAUAAGAUACUUAAUAUAAUGUAAAUAAAUAAAAGUCGUCAUAAAUUUAAAUUUGAAUUUAUAUUUUAAAACCCAUCACAUUUAUUUUUAUUUUUUUAAAAUUUUAAGAAUUUUUUCUCCACUUCAAAUAGCAAUAAUAGUGUUUAUUCAUACUAAUUAUACUUAAAAUUGAUGAAAAUUAUGAAAAAAAAAACCCAUACCCUUCAAAUUUAUAUUUGUUUUAAUUUUAAAUUUUUUUUCUCUACUUCAAGUAAUAAUAAUAAUAAUGUUUAUUCAUACUAAUAACAAUAAAAUUAAUGAAAAUGAUGAAAAAUAAAAAAUUGUUUGGUUUCAACAUUGUUUAUUCAAAAUAAUUUUUUUUAUUUGCACUUUCCUACUAGGCCAAACUAAGAAUGACUCAGACCAGUAUGGUCCGUUUAAAUGCCUAUCUUUUUAUUAUAAGCUCACUAAGCUGCAUCUCUCAAGACUCUAGUGAAACACAAUCUGGCCCAAAUAAAUUUUCCGAUUCAAUCCACUUCCUACAAUUCCGCCAAAAAGACCUAAUUUCUCAUUGAAAAAAUGGUUAAAAAUAAGAAUAGCAAGAGAAUCAAGUUAUGGCUCAAAAAAGGUUUUUUUUUUUUCUUAAAAAAAAAAAAAAAAACUAUCUAAACCUUAAAAAAAUUGAAAAUAAGUAAAACAUAAGAUAAGUUACAAACUAAAUGCACCAAAAGUAAAUUCAAAAAUGGAAUAGCUGGUUAGGGACAAUACUAUAAACAAGUAGGCUUAUCAAUUGUUGAAUCCAUAGAAUCUGUGGUCUCCCUAUGCAUUAUGAAUUUUUUCUUUGCUUCAAAUAAUAAUAAUAAUAAUAAUAAUAAUGUUUAUUCAUACUAAUAAACAAUUCUUCAUAAUCAUAACCUCCUAAUUUCCAAUAAUUAUAAUUGAAAUUAUUUUAAAUAAACAAUGUUGAAACCAAACAAUGUUUCAACAUAAUAGGAAAGUGCAAAUAAAAAUACCCCAUUACAAAUACCUUCCAAAAUUUAUUUAAAAUUCAUAGAUUUUUUUUUUUACUUUAAAUAUCAAAAAAAUUAUUGAUUCAUAAUAAUUUCACUUAGAAUUCAUAAAAAAAUAUGAGGAAAAAAAAUUAAAAUAAAAAAUUUUAAGAUCCCUACCCUUCCCAUUUAAUUUUAACAAUUUUUUUCUGAGCAUUGAUUUGUUGAUCGGUUAUCAAGGGCCACUCAUUUGCUUUGUUGGAUCUAACUCUCUAUAAGCAUGCUUUGUUUUGGCUUCGUUUUUUUUAUCUUUGCUUUCUCUUGUAAAUAUCUGAUGCAUUGUUCCCUCUUUGAACUUGAGAUAUAAAAACCAUGCUCUUGUUCCUUGUGGAUUCCACCUGCUCCUAGCUCUUUGAUAAUCCAUGAAAUAGAGCUAAGUUCAUACUCUAUUUUUAUGUUUUUAUUAUUCUUUGUUUGUUGUUGAUGGUGGGAUGAUAUUAUCAAUGGCCAAGUUGCUGGGAUUGGAGGAGUGAGGUUAUGGGGAAGUGAACUUAAUGGAGGAUUUCUGUGAUCAUAUCUAUGCUCCAAUCUAUUGGUUCCAAAUGUUGGUCACGAGACUGCAUUGAAGUUUUGGUAUUUGGGAUCACUUUGCCAUCUGGGUUUAGUAAGCAACACAGUGGCAAUAAAGAUGCAUUGGUGUUAUUAAUUUGGGUGAAUAAGUUGGUUGUAUGAAUUGUGAAAGUUCAGGUUGUGCUUUGAGGAGAGUAUAUCUUGCAUCCUACUAUUUUAAUUAUUAAUUUUGGAUGUUGAAAUAUGAUGUGAUUGCACUUCAUAUGCAUCAUGGUUGUGUGAGGAAAAAGAAAUAUUAAAGAAAUGGUUGUGUGAAAUGGAAAUAAGAAUGAAAAGACCCUGGAUAGGGCAAAAAUGAAAAGAAAAGAAAAAAAAAAUGAAAUGAUCCUAGAGAGGGCGAAUUAAGAAGGAAGUGAGAUCUCUAAGCUGAAAGACCCAAAAGUUUACUUCGAGAAGACUCCGAAUGGGGAGUAUAUUUAGGUAUAGACGUGUAUCCUUUGGUGAAAGCUUGAGAACCACAGUGCAUUGUGUGAUUGCGUGUAACCAUUUGCAUCAUAAUUGUAUUUGGAAGAAGGAUUUGUAUUAUUUAUCAAGUGUAUGUUUGAAUAUAUUAUUCAAAACUAAAAUGACUUGUUUAUUUUGUAAAUUUAGAAUUGUUGAUAUACUAAACAUAUGAUUGAAUAAGGAAAAUGAUAAUUUUGAUUGUUUUAAAUUUGUAUGGUUGGGGUUUCUUUUAGUGUAUAUAUUGUAAAUGUAAUAUUAUAUCUUGACAUAUGGUUGUGUUAUUGACUUAGAAUUUCUAACCUAUUUGGGUGUAAAACACCCUACUAAGCAACGUGAAAAUGCUCACCCCUUUAUUUUCUAAAAUUUUUAGAUGCAGAUAUAGUUUCAGAGGGGCCGCAAGAAGUUCAAGAAGCGUUCUAGAAAGCAAAAGAACUAUAAUAAUAGUUGUUUUUAAAUUUAUAUUUAUCCUUUUACAUGUACCAAUUUGAAUUAUAUGGGCUUUUGUAUGUUAAAUUAUAUUUUGUUAGAUUGUAAAACAUUUUUGGAAAUAUUUUUUUUGACUUAGAGAUUAUUAUAAAUAUUUGAGCUUUUGGACAGAAAGAUGACUGGUGGAUUUAUUAUACUUGUGAAUAAGAGAUAGUGUGAUGGUUGGUUUUAGAAAAAUAAAAUAUUAUAAUAAAUCUUAACUUAAUAAAUUUAUUUAAGAUUAGACGUUUUAUUAUUUAAAAAAAAAAAGUUUCAGAGUUUUUUGAUUGAUUGUCAGUGUGGAUAGGAGUAAUCCUUAGGGUCAAACCCUUGGCCGACUAUGUAGGUGAAUACCCAAUUAUACCCACAUGAAUCAGCCGUCAAUCUUACAAAUCCAAGGGCAAAGUAGUCAUUCCAAUUCAAACAAAACCAAGCCAUGAUUCAUGAAAACUGCUGGCCACAGCUCCUGGUUUUUCCCAAACUUUGGGCACCAAAUCCAAACCCAUCUCUUGCUAUAUAACCAACCCACCUUCACCUCAUCUUCUUCAUCACAACACAACUACCCUGAUUUACAGAGAGAUUUUCUAUAUCCAUUCACUACUCAGAAUCACCUCUUUCUAUUGUUGAUUGUUGUUUGGGUUUCGGAGAAAGAAAAUUAAGAAGAUGAGUCAUGUGGGGAAAGCUUGGUUAGUGGCAGCAAGUGUGGGAGCAGUGGAGGCACUCAAGGAUCAGGGCUUCUGCAGAUGGAACUACACUCUGAGGUCUAUUCACCAGCAUGCCAAGACCAACCUCAGGUCCUUUGCUCAGGCCAAGAAGCUCUCUUCUUCCUCUUCCGCCAUGGUUUCCAGCAGAGUGAGAGAGGAGAAGGCCAAGCAGUCAGAGGAGUCUCUGAGGACUGUCAUGUACUUGAGCUGCUGGGGACCCAACUGAAGAAGAAGAUAUGAAGAUGGAUGAUCAUCAGCCUGCUCUUGAAGCAUCCAGGGAGGGCAUAUUCCAAGAAAGUAACGGAAAAUUGAGAUGAAGAAACUGCAGUGAAGCAAUUUCAUGGAAUUUUUGCUUGGAGACUCACGAAUUACAACCAAUUGCUCAGGGUUGGGAAAAUUGGAAUUGGCGUAAAUUGUGACUGGGUCUUUGUAAAACCCACAUCAUUUAGCUAGAAAAGCUUUGAAAAUACAUUUUAAUUUAAUUUAUAAUUUCUAUGUUAGAAUAUUAGACCCAAUUCCUAAAAAGCUUGUCAGCCUUGUAUAUAUGGCUAAGCAGGUCAACUUCCCAAGCUCAAGCGCAUUAAGAAAUUCUCAAACCUACCUUUUUUUUAUAGGAUUUUUGGGAAGUUUUACAGCAAUUGAAAACAAAUCUUAAAAGGGUCGGGAAAUUAUUUGAAAAAAUAUGGCAGAUUUGGUCACAUAGGGGAUAAAGAGGUGAUAAAGUUGGUACAACGCCCAAAAUUAAACUCUCAAUUAAUUUAAUUGAACAAAUAAUCAUAAAAGAGAUUUUUUUAAUUUAUGAUUUUUAUUUUUUUAUUUAUACUUUUUGAAAAAGAAAAUUCCAGUGAAAUAUGUUCGUGUAGACUGUGUGGCAGGAUGCAGACUAAACAAAGAAAUUGACACGUGCUUGAAGUCCGGCCCUACACAUAGCCCCAUUGGAAAACAGCGGUUUCAUCCUCCGUACUCUUUGGGCGUUAAGUGGGUUCACAAACCAAACAAUGGGCUGCCCCAACACAGCAACACUUAGACUGAGGACAAACUAUGUAGGUGAAUACCCAAUUAUACCCACAUGAAUCAGUGGUCAAUCUUUCAAAUAUAAGGACAGAGUAGUCAUUCCAAUUCAAAUCAAACAAAGUUAUGAGAACUGCUGGCCACAGCCUCUGGUUUCCCCAAAACUUUGGGCACUAUUCCUCAAAGAAUCAAGUGGGCUAGAGUUAAUAACUUCGUCCACCAUGGUUAGAUUACUGGGGGCUAGAGUUAAUAACUUCAUCCACCAUGGUUAGAUUAUUGGUAUCUCGAUGGGAGAAGUUGUUUUGACGGUAAAACAUUGUAUUUUAUUAUUUUGUAAAUUUUAUCAUCACUCAUAUAUAUUAUUUUUUAUUUAAAAUUAAAUAAAAAAUUAAAAUUCUUAGAAAAUGCGAAACAAAAGUAUAUCACAACUUAUAUUAAUUAAACGUCUUUAUUUUCUAUUCUAAAAUUAAAAAACAAAAUUAAAAUUAUCAAGAAAAAAGUACAUUCCAACUUACAUUAAUCAAGGGAUGAUAUACUGUACAAAUAAAAAAUAAUAAAAAUAAUUAAAGGUUAAAUAAAUCGCUUAAUAAAUUGAUAGUAUGGGUUGAUGGUUUCAUUAUAAGACCAUAACAAGGAUUUUCUUUUUCUUUUUCUUUUUAAAUGCAUUUCACGGUGGUGUAGAAUUUUUUUGUAUAAGGGUUUUUAAAUUAUAAUAUUGAUUAUAUAUAUAGGUGUGUUUUGUCCUAAAUUCCGAUUUCCAAGUUUCCAACAUUAUAUAAAAAUCCCUAAAAUCAUCUACUUCGUAAGUUUUCUAACAUUAUAUAAAAAGCCCUGAAUUCACUUAUUAGGAAAAUGCUAUUUGGUGCACUACCAUCACCAUGACCUCAACCUCGUGUAAAGAUAUCAAGUGGUUACUAAUAAUAAAAAAUAAAUAAUAAAAACAAAAUGUAUUCAUUAUUAUUAUUAUUAUUAUUUUGUACUUUUACCAUCCAUUGUUCACAUCUUAGCAUAUGGUAGAAAAGAUGAUAAAUGAUUAUUUAUGUCAUAAUUUUUAAGUGAAGUGAUCAAAAUAUUUAAAGAAAAAAUUAAUAAUUGAUGAAUAAUUUUUGGUAAAUUUAUAAAUUUGUAAUAAAUAUUAAUAAAUGAUAAACAAAGUAGUUUUUAAAGCGGUUGUAGUAGUUAAACAUUAUAUCUCAUUAUGAUUUUCCACCUUCAAAACUUAAUAAUAAAAUUUCAUAACAAAUUUUUAUCUAUUUAAAACUUUUGAAAUGUGAAAUCUUUUCUUGGACAUCUUUAUAUAUACAUUUGUGAAUUUUCUCUUUAUUUGCUAUUUAUAAAAUUAAAGGAUAAAGUUAAAAUGUUAAAAAUAAAAGAGAAGUAUAUCCCAACUUACAUCAAUUAAGAGAAGAUAUAUUAAGCACAUGAAGAAUGCAAAAAAAAAUUAAUGAUAAAAUAAAUCACUUAUUAGUUAGUAUUUAAUGAUUUACAUUAUUAGAUUGUAGCGAUGAGUUAUAUUUUUAUUUUUGUGUAUAGGUGAUUUUAAAUUAUAAUAUUUUUUAUUUUAUUUUUGAGUUAGUUUUCUUUGUUGAUACAUAGGUUUUUUUUUUUUUUUUUGUCUUGGAUAUUGUGUUAUCUACAGUUUUAAAAGAAAUAAAAAUUAUUUAUCCCACAUUGAUUCAAAACUAAAAAUAUUAUAUAUAUAUUUGUUAAAACUUUGAUACCCUUAAAAAAUACAAGUACAACCAAUAAGCAGGCAUAGGGAUGGCAACGGGGUAGGUAUGGGACGGGCCACCCCUACCCCAUUUCCAUCCCGGUUAUAUAUUUUUUUUUCCAUCCCCGUCCCAAACCCAGGGCGGGGCGAGUUGGUGUCUCCUAUGCCCAUUUACAAAAGAGCUGAUAAUCUCAUCCCCAUCCCAAAUGUAUUUUCGGGAAUUAUGCUUUUACAGAACAUGGGUCUCUGAAAUUUCAAUAAACGUUAUAUGGGUUAUCAUAAACACAUUUAAUCAAGCAUUUGUUGUGCAACAAAACUGCAAACUGCACACAUGAGAACAAAAUGCACAGAUCUACAAAUAAACAACCCAAAAAAUCUCAAAUCCAUCAACCAAACCAGAAAAUAUGAAAAACAAGACAUUUCUAACAAAGCCUCAAAACUUAGGGUUUUCUUACCUGGAAAUGAGGAAUCCAUAGAAACCCUAAUAAUUUGUUGUCUACGAAUUUGGUAUUUUGGUUUUCAAAGCAAAAAAUGUGCUUUUAGGGUGAAACGGGAAGAAACAAUUUAGGAAUAAAUGAGAAAACGAGAAGAAAUGAGAAAACAAAAGCCCUAUUACGAGCAAAAGAACCCUGAGCAAUUUAGGAAGAAAUGAGAAAACGGGAAGAAAUGAGAAAACAAAAAGCCUCUUACGAGCAAAAGAAUCCUAAGCAAUUUAGGAAGAAAUGAGAAAACUAGAAGAAAUGAGAAUGAAAGCCCUCUGAGAGCGAAAACCCUCUAAGAGUGAAAGCCCUCUGACUCUCUCACGAGUGAAAUAACCCUAAAAUUUGAGGAAGAAAUGAUUAUAUAUGGAGGACUUUUUGGGUAUUUUGUAAUGACAUAAGGGUAAAUCGGUAAUUCACAUACGGGAUGGGGCGGAAACUGCAAAACCCAUCCCUGCCCUGAACCCGAUUUGGGUUUUUAUAUAUUCCCCAAACCCGUUCUAUACCCGAAUAAAAUAUUCCCAUACCCGUCCCAAUAGGGGCGGGUGACCCGAAUUACUCGGAAAAUUACCAUUCCUAAGCAAGCAUUGAGCUAAAUCCUAAUCUCACAUUCUUGCUCGAAACUUUACACUCAAAUAAAAACAAUUCACCACUUGACUCGAGGGACUAUUCCGUAACUUCUCACUACCAACAACCAGGCACUAUUCGACCUCUCGCUCGCUUAUAAAUUCACUCCCUACUUGCAUAUUCAAAGCGUAUCUCACUACCAUUCUACUCUACUAUUCUACUUUUCGCGGUUUCAUAUCUCACUACUAUUCGCGUGUUCAAAGUGUGCAUAUUCAAAGUGUAUCCCUCCUUGAAUUAAUUGUGAAUUAAUUUAGGCUUCAAAGUGUGUUGCUCUACAAUAUCCUUCCUAGUCAGGCUUCAAAGUAAGAGCAACAACAUCUACAAUAUCUACCAUGGCCACACAACCAAGGUAUGCGGUAUGCCGCCUUUUCUCAUGUCCUUUUCCCAUUUUGUUCCCUCUUUUCAUCUCCAUUUUGUUUUCAAUAUUCUCUUACCUUACUCAUAUUCUCUAAAAUUAGAUAAAAUUAUUAAUUUGAUCAUAUUUAUCUAACAUUUUUAAUUAGUACUACUAGUAUCUUAUUUUCAUAAAUCUAAUUGAAUUUUCUACUUAUUUAUUUAUUGUUUUCAUGACAGAACUUCACCAGCUUUCAUAUCUUUCCUUACAAUUUUGAGUUCAGUUGUCCUUGCGAAGUACCAAUAUGAGAAUGUUUCCCCAUUUUCCCAACACAACAUAGGUAUGCAAAUCUCCUUAUUUGCAUCAUUUAUAUAUUUCAUGAUGGUUGUGGUUUAUGAAAUCCUUGAUUCUGAUGGAACUGUCAAAGUUGAAGAAGAUGGAAGAUAUCUCCUUAUUUUGGGCCUGUUCGGUUCUUAAGUGGAACAGCAGCUGCAACUUUGUUGAUCCUGAUCUUGAUCCCAUAUCUUGGAUGGUUCCUUUUGGUCAUGUAGACCAUGUUCUUAGUGAAAAUAGCAUGCUAUUGGGAUAAAACAUUUUAUAACUUUGACAUGUUCAAGAAUAAAAAAAAAUGCCAAUGAUAGGGAAGGAAGACAAGAGGAGCAGCGACGCCAAGUUUAGAGUAGGUUUGGUCCAACAGAGGUUAUUAGCAAAAAACAUAUUUUCUUCUUGUACUUUCGAAAGUGUUAUAUAAGUGUUAUAUUUUGAGUAAUGAGAGUAUUUUUUUCCUUUUUUCUUUUUCUCUAAUACAUUAUUGGUGAUUAUUCUUCAUCGGAAUACCCACAAGGUUAUUAGAUGUUUAAUUGCAAAUAUGGUUUUAUAUGAUAGCAUUAUGAUUGAACUAAUAAAACAUAUUUUUUUGCAUAUUGUUUAGCUGGACUUCCCAACUACCUCUGGGUAAUAUCCUUUUAACAUAGGAAGUAUAAACUAAUAGCAAGUGCUAAUCUUUCCCAUUCUUACACAAGAAAGAACUAAGGAAAAAGGUAUACUUAGAAGUUGCAUUUCUAUGUUCCCAAACAAUAGAAAAUUCAAUAUAUGGCACUUCACUCUCUACUUUUCUUUCCCACCUUUUCUCAUAACCCAAAUAUGCUCACCUCUCAUUCCAAGAUCCAACCAAAAUUGAAAAACAAUUACAAAAAUCCUAGUAGAAGAGACAGAUCAUACUACAAUUACACUUUCUUACAAGAAAUUGAAGUGCAAAAGGAAUAACAAUUGAGUGAAACAAAUAAAACCAACCCCCUUUACCACACCUACUAAUGAAAUACUUGCAGAGACACUUUAAAUUUCUCCAGACUCCAAGAGAUACUGAUCAACAGCCUCGACACCUGCAGUGAUGAGACCAACACUUGAUACGAUAUAAUGCACAAACUCGACACGGAAUUGGUAAGACUUGGUUAGAUUACAGAAAAAUUUUCAAACAUUAUAUUUUUCUUUCCAAUCACAACAAAACAUCAAAAUAUUUUCAAAAAUAAAAAUUAGAGAUUCCCUCUUCAAAAGAAGACACCCAUGAUUCUGAAAUUGGAGCUUUUAACCCAGAAGAUCAAAGAAGACAAAGAAGAAAAAACCCAACCCCUAACCCAUUCGGAAAUAAGAGGAGAAACCAUCAAAGAAUGAGGGCAUGAGUUAGGAUUUACUUACCUGAUUUUCCUAAAAAUCGAGAAUCACCAAAGGUGGAGGUUUGGUGUCGGCGGUGGUAACUCGUCAAGUGGACUGAAUCUUACAAUGACGACGUCGGCUAGGCAACCCCCUCACAGUCAGAUUGCUCUCCCUCCGGGGUCUUGCAUAGUUGCAAAUUUGCAAUUGCAGGUGGUGUCAUCUAUCGGCGGUCUUGACAGCAACGGUGGUGUGCGAGGUGUGGGAGAUUGGGAGUCCAAAUUGGUAAAGUAACAAAUGCAUUUUAUAUGGAUUUACGUUGAUGAUAUGAGAUAGGAUUUGAUGGUAACAUAUUAAAUUAAAUUAAACGAUUGAGUCCAAAAUGAUACGGAUGGUAUGAGAUGGGAUUUAAUGAAAAAUUAAAUGUAUUUAUAUGGAAAAUUGAGAAUUAAAUCCCCAAUUCUUAGUAUUAUUAUAAAUAGGUGAAAAAAUUUUGUUUUAUUAAAUUUUUAAGCUUAUUUAAUUUCUAUAUAUUUUUUUAUAUAUAAUUUACAUAACAUUUUUAUAAUUUUUUGAAAAUUUUAAUUAUCUUAUUUUGCGUAUUGCUUGAUAUUGAAUCAAAAUGUCGAGACCAACAUAUCUCGGGAUCAUUUGAGUCAAUGAUCGAUAUCACAACUUUGAACCAUGCUCGUCUCCAAUCCCUCAACAAUGAUGAAAAAUGAGGGCAACACAAUUACCUUUUUUAUUAUUAUCAGUUCAAAAUAAUACGUGUAUUAUAAUAUAAUUUUUAAAAAAUAUUUUACAAAAAAAUAUAUGUGGACCCCGCAUUUAGGCUCAUGCACUUCCACUCGAUGGCGAGCUCGAUUUUAUUUUGAAAAUGAUUUUAUUUAUUAGAAAAUGACUUGGAGUCGCUACUUAUUUUUGUUUUAUUUUUAAAGGGUAAACAAAAUAAGAAAGAAAACCCUAAGUGUGACUCCUUAUUUUGGAAAAGGUGGUCUGUGAAAAAUGGGAUCGAGUUCGGGGGCUAGGUUACUUAUCGGGAAGGUACGGUAAAGACCGUAGCACCCCUUUAACUCCCCAAAGUCGGGUCUUUACUAAUAAAAUGAAGUUGACGCGACAAUCAAUAAUAAAAACAAUGAAUAUCGACAUGAUCACAUAUUGAAAACCAAAACAUAUAAGGAUGAUGGUUAGAGUGAGAAAAAAUGCGUACCUAAUCAGCAAGCGGCAACGCGCUAUCAUAAAAUGAGGUUAGUGCACAAAUAAUGGACAUAAAACAUAGCUCACAUGCCACUGAAUCGAGUACAAAAUCAUCAGAUAUCACAAUUAAGUCAAAUUUAUUUUUCGAGGAAACAAUCAUUGAUGUUGGGCCUCCACCAAAACCCAAUUUAUUCCUGCAUGAAUUAAUUCCGUAAAUUCCAUCACUUGGAAUUAUAGAAUUUAAUUCACACUUAUUUUUAAAACGUUUUAGAAUUCAUGGAAGUUAUGGAAAUCCAUGCCGAAGAAAAUGACAACAAAAUUUUAUUAAAAAUGUGAUUUUUGGGACUUGAAAGCUCUAAGAAUGAAGAAUCUGGAAAAUAAUGCGAAAAAAAUGAGAUUUGGAAAAAAAUAUUUUUUUAAACCAAGAAUGGUGAAAAUGAGAAGAGAAAAAAAAAGUGACACGUGGCAUAAGGGUGGCCAUGCACCAUUUCAAACAAAUCUAACCCCACUUGCUUUUAUUUGAUCCUGAUCUUGAUCCCAUAUUUUGGAUGGUUCCUUCUGGUCAUGUGGACUUCUUAGUGAAAAUAGCAUGCUAUUGGGAUAAAACAUUUUAUAACUUUGACAUGUUUAAGAAUAAAAAAAAUGUCAAUGAUAGGGAAGGAGGACAAGAGGUGUAGCGACGCCAAGUUUAGAGUAGGUUUAGUCCAAUAGAGGUUAUUAGCAAAAAAACAUAUUUUCUUCUUGUACUUUUGAAAGUGUUCUAUUUUGAAUAAUGAGAGUAUUUUUUUUCCUUUUUUUUUUCUCUAAUACAUUAUUGGUGAAUAAGUGUUCUAUUUUGAAUAAUGAGAGUAUUUUUUUUCCUUUUUUUUUUUUCUCUAAUACAUUAUUGGUGAAUAAGUGUUCUAUUUUGAAUAAUGAGAGUAUUUUUUUUUCUUUUUUUUUUCUCUAAUACAUUAUUGGUGAUUAUUCUUCGCGGAAAUACCCACAAGGCUAUUAGAUGUUUCAUUGCAAAUAUGGUUUUACAUGAUAGCAUUACGAUUGAACUAAUAAAACAUAUUUUCUACAUAUUGUUUAGCUGGACCUCCCAACUACCUCUGGAUAAUAUCCUCUUAACAUAGGAAGUAUAAACUAAUAGCAAGUGCUAAUCUUUCCCAUUCUUACACAAGAAAGAACCAAGGAAAAGGUAUACUUAGAAGUUGCAUUUUUAUGUUCCUAAACAAUAGAAAAUUCAAUAUAUGGCACUUCACUCUCUACUUUUCUUUCCCACCUUUUCUCAUAACCCAAAUAUGCUCACCUCUCAUUCCAAGAUCCAACCAAAAUUGAAAAACAAUUACUAUUACAAUUACACUUUCUUUCAAGAAAUUGAAGUGUAGAAGGUAUAAUAAUUGAGUGAAACAAAUAAAAACCAACCUCCUUUAACACACCUGCUAAUGAAAUACUUGUAGAAACACUUUAAAUUUCUCCAGACUCCAAGAGAUACUGAUCAACAGCCUCGGCACCUACAGCAAUGAGACCAACACCUGAUACGAUAUAAUGCACAAACUUGGCAUGGAAUCGGUAAGACUCGGUUAGAUUAUAGAAAAAUUUUCAAACAUUCUCUUUUUCUUUCCAAUCAUAAUAAAACAUCAUAAUAUUUUCAAAAAUAAAAAUCAGAGAUUCCUCUUUCAAAAGCAAACACCCAUGAUUCUGAAAUUGGAGCUUUCAACCCAGAAGAUCAAAGAAGACGAAGAAGAAAAAACCCAACCCUUAACUCGUUCGGAAAUCAGAGGAGAAACCACCGAAGGAUGAGGGCAAGAUUUAGGAUUUACUUACCGAUUUUCCUAAAAAUCAAGAAUCAUCAGAGGGUGGAGGUUUGGUGUCGGCGGUGGUAACUCGUCAAGUGGACUGAAUCUUACAACGGCGAGGUCGGCUAGGCAACCCCCUCACAGUCAGAUUGCUCCCCCUCUAGGGUCUUGCAUAGUUGCAAAUUUGCAAUUGCAGGUGGUGUCAUCUAUCGGCGGUCUUGACAACAACGGUGGUGUGCGAGGUGUGGGAGAUUGGGAGCCCAAAUUGGUAAAGUAAAAAAUGCAUUUUAUAUGGAUUUACAUUGAUGAUAUGAGAUAGGAUUUGAUGGUAACAUAUUAAAUUAAAUUAAAUGAUUGAGUCCAAAAUGAUAUGGAUGGUAUGAGAUGGGAUUUAAUGAAAAAUUAAAUGUAUUUAUAUGACAGAUUAAGAAUUAAAUCCCCAAUUCUUAGUAUUAUUAUAAAUAGGUGAAAUUUUUUUGUUUUAUUAAAAUUUUAAGCUUAUUUAAUUUCUAUAUAUAAUUUACGUAAUAUUUUUAUAAUUUUUUGAAAUUUCUAAUUAUCUUAUUUUGCGUAUUACUUGAUACCGAAUCAAGAUGUCAAGACCAGCAUAUCUCGGGAUCAUCUGAAUCAAUGAUCGAUAUCGCGACAUUGAACCAUACUCAUCUCCAAUCCCUCAAUAGUGAUGAAAAAUGAGGCCAACGCAGUUGCCUUUUUUAUUAUUAUAAGUUAAAAAUAGUCAUGUAUUAUAAUAUAAUUUUAAAAAAAUAUUUUUACAAAAAAAAUACAAUAAAGAAAAUUUUAAAUAAAAGAGUUUACAAUAACUUUCUAUAUUAAUAAAUUAAUAAUGAAUCUAUAUCCAUGUAUUAUCGAGAAUAAAUAAGUUUAUAUUUAUAUAUUUUUAUUAUAAAUUUAUAUUGACACAUAUCCUUGAUUUCCCUCAAGGUUUUAUUUUUAAUUGAUUACAAAGCAUUAGUACUUGUUUAAUAAAAAAUGUAUUAAAUAAAUAUUAAUAUUAUAUAAAUAAAUAAAAGUUGAAUUUGAAUAAAACUUAUAUAUAUAUAUCAUAUUCAACAUGAAUAUGAAUCUAUUAUUAAAGAUACAUGGUAAUAAGUGUUAAUAUUAUAUAAUCAAAUGAGAGAGUACAAAAAUGUUCUAUUAUUAUAAUAAUAAGAUAUUUAAUAUCAUGCAAAUAAAUAAAAGUCACCAUAAAUUUAAAUUUGAAUUUAUAUUUUUAAACCCUUCAAAUUUUUAUUUUUAUUUUUAAAUUUUAAGAAUUUUUUCUCCACUUCAAAUAGCAAUAAUAGUGUUUAUUCAUACUAGUUAUACUUAAAAUUGAUGAAAAUUAUGAAAAAAAAAAAAGAAAUAAAAACCCAUACCCUUCAAAUUUGCAUUUGUUUUAAUUUUAAGAUUUUUUUUCUCUACUUCAAGUAAUAAUAAUAAUAAUGUUUAUUCAUACUAAUAACAAUAAAAUUAAUGAAAAUGAUGAAAAAUAAAAAAUAAAUAGUAAAAACUUCAAAUUUGUAAUAAUAAUAAUGUUUAUUCAUACUAAUAAACAAUUCUUCAUAAUCAUAACCUACUAAUUUCCAACAAUUAUAAUUGAAAUUAUUUUGAAUAAACAAUGUAAUUUGUAUUUGAAGUUGAAAAAAAUUGUGAAAAUUAAAUGGGAAGGGUAGGGUUUUAAUUUUAUUUUAUUUUUUUUACUUUUUACCUCAUAAAUUUUUUAUUUUUUUAUUUUUAUUUAUUUAUGAAUUCUAAGUGAAAUUAUUAUGAAUCAACAAUUUUAUUGAUAUUUAAAGUUAAAAAAAAUCUAUGAAUUUUAAAUAAAUUUUGGAAGGUAUUUGUAAUGGGGUAUUUUUAUUUGCACUUUCCUAUUAUGUUGAAACAUUGUUUGGUUUCAAAAUUGUUUAUUCAAAAUAAUUUCAAUUAUUAUUAUUGGAAAUUAGGAGGUUAUGAUUAUGAAGAAUUGUUUAUUAGUAUGAAUAAACAUUAUUAUUAUUAUUAUUAUUAUUAUUAUUAUUAUUUGAAGUAGAGAAAAAAUUCAUAAUGCAUAGGGAGAUCACAGAUUCUAUGGAUUCAACAAUUGAUAAGCCUACUUGUUUAUAUUAUUGUCCUUAACCAGCUAUCCCAUUUUUUAAUUUACUUUUGGUGCAUUUAGUUUGUAACUUAUCUUAUGUUUUACUUAUUUUCAAUUUUUUAAGGUUUAGAUAGUUUUUUUUUUCUAAAAAAAAAAAAAAACCUCUUUUGAGCCAUAACUUGAUUCUCUUGCUAUUCUUAUUUUUAACCAUUUUUUCAAUGAGAAAUUAGGUCUUUUGGCGGAAUUGUGGGAAGUGGAUUGAAUCGGGAAAUUUAUUUGGUCCAGAUUGUGUUUCACUAGAGUCCUAAGAGAUGCAGCUAAGUGAGCUUAUAAUAAAAAGGUAGGCAUGUAAACGAACCAUGCUAGUCCGGGCCAUUCUUAGCUUGGCCUAGUGGGCCUUCAAAAUUGCUCCAACAUGAAUUUCAACGUGAACUUCAGUUUUUAAAAUUAAUAAUUAUACAUUUGUUUUAACUAUUUAUAACAAAUAUUAUCUUUGAAAAGUAAAUUUCAAUUAAUUUUUAUAUUUAAAUAAAAAUUAUUAUUAUUUUAAUUAUUUGUAUCCAAAUCAUACCCGAUAUAUUUGAUUUAUCUUACAAUGUUUCAACAUAAUAGGAAAGUGCAAAUAAAAAUACCCCAUUACAAAUACCUUCCAAAAUUUAUUUAAAAUUCACAUAUAUAUAUAUAUAUAUAUAUAUAUAUAUAUAUAUGAAUUUUAAAUAUCAAUAAAAUUGUUGAUUCAUAAUAAUUUCACUUAGAAUUCAUAAAAAAAAUAUGAGGAAAAAAAAUUAAAAUAAAAAAUUUUAAGAUCCCUACCCUUCCCAUUUAAUUUUAACAAUUUUUUUUUCUGAGCAUUGAUUUGUUGAUCGGUUAUUAAGGGCCACUCAUUUGCUUUGUUGGAUCUAACUCUCUGUAUGCAUGCUCUGUUUUGGCUUUGUUUUUUUUUUUUUUUUUUUAUCUUUGCUUUCUCUUGUAAAUAUCUGAUGCAUUGUUCCUUCUCUGAACUUGAGAUAUAAAAAUCAUGCUCUUGUUCCUUGUGGAUUCCACCUUCUCCUAGCUCUUUGACAAUCCAUGAAAUAGAGCUAAGUUCAUACUUUAUUUUUAUGUUUUUAUUCUUUUUUGUUUGUUGUUGAUGGUGGGAUGAUAUUAUCAAUGGCCAAGUUGCUAGGAUUAGAGGAGUGAGGUUAUGGGGAAGUGAACUUAAUGGAGGAUUUCCGUGAUCAUAUCCAUGCUCCAAUAUAUUGGUUCCCAAUGUUGGCCACGGGACUGUAUUGAAGUUUUGGUAUUUGGGAUCACUUUGCCUUCUGGGUUCAGUAAGCAACACAGUGGCAAUAAAGAUGCUUUGGUGUUAUUAAUUUGGGUGAAUAAGUUGGUUGUAUGAAUUGUGAAAGUUCAGGUUGUGCUUUGAGGAGAGUAUAUCUUGCAUCCUACUAUUUUAAUUAUUAAUUUUGGAUGUUGAAAUAUGAUGUGAUUGCACUUCAUAUGCAUCAUAGUUGUGUGAAGAAAAAGAAAGAUUAAAGAACUGGUUGUGUGAAAUGGAAAUAAGAAUGGAAAAACCUUGGAGAUGGCAAAAAUGAAAAGAAAAGAAAAAAAAAAAAAAUGCAAUGACCCUAGAGAGAGCGAAUUAAGAAGGGAGUGAAAUCCCUAGGGUGAAAGACCCAAAAGUUUACUUCGGGAAGACUUCGAAUGAGGAGUAUAUUUAGGUACAGACGUGUAUCCUUUGGUGAAAGCCCGAGAAUGACAGUGCAUUGUGUGAUUGUGAGAUUGUGUGUAAGCAUUUGCAUCAUAAUUGCAUUUGGAAGAAGGAUUUGUAUUAUUUAUCAAGUGUAUAUUUGAAUAUAUUAUUCAAAACUAAAAUGACUUGUUUAUUUUGUAAAUUUAGAAUUGUUAAUAUACUAAACAUGAUUGAAUAAGGAAAAUGAUAAUUUUGAUUGUUUUAAAUUUGUAUGGUUAGGGUUUCUUUCAGUGUAUAUAUUGUAAAUGUAAUAUUAUAUCUUGGCAUAUGGUUGUGUUAUUGACCUAGAAUUUCUAACCUAUUUGGGUGUAAAACAUCCUACUGAGCAACGUGGAAAUGCUCACCCUUUUAUUUUUUAAAAUUUUUAGAUGUAAAUAUAGUUUUAGAGGGACCACAAAAAGUUCAAGAAGCGUUUUAGAAAGCAAAAGAACCAUAAUAAGAGUUGUUUUUAAAUUUAUAUUUCUCUUCUUAUACGUACCAAUUUGAGUUAUAUGGGCUUUUGUAUGUUAAAUUAUAUUUGUUAGGUUGUAAAAUAUUUUUGGAAAUAUCCUUUUUGAUUUAGAGAUUAUUGUAAAUAUUUGUGUUUUUGGGCAGGAAGAUGACUAAUGGAUUUAUUAUACUUGUGAAUAAGAGAUAAUGUGAUGGUUGGUUUUAAAAAAAUAAAAUAAUAUGUUAUAAUAAAUCUUAGUUUAAUAAGUUUAUUUAAGAUUACACGUUUUACUAUAAAAAAAAUAAAAAAUUUCAAAGUGUUUUGAUUGAUUGACAACGUAGAUAAGAAUUACCCGGAUCAAACUCUUGACCUGGGCCAACUAUGUUGGUGAAUACCCAAUUAUACCCACAUGAAUCAGCCGUCAAUCUUACAAAUCCAAGGGCAAAGUAGUCAUUCCAAUUCAAACCAAAAAAAGCCAUGAUUCAUGAAAACUGCUGGCCACAGCUCCUGGUUUUUGCCAAACUUUGGGCACCAAAUCCAAACCCAUCUCUUUGCUAUAUAACCAACCCACCUUCACUUCUUCAUCACAACACAACUACCUUGAUUUACAGAGAGAUCUUCUAUAUCCAUUCACUACUCAGAAUCACCUCUUUUUUUUGUUGAUUGUUGUUUGGGUUUUGGAGAAAGAAAAUUAAGAAGAUGAGUCAUAUGGGGAAAGCUUGGAUAGUGGCAGCAAGUGUGGGAGCAGUGGAGGCACUCAAGGAUCAGGGCUUCUGCAGAUGGAACUACACUCUGAGGUCUAUUCACCAGCAUGCCAAGACCAACCUCAGGUCCUUUACUCAGGCCAAGAAGCUCUCUUCUUCCUCUUCUGCCAUGGUUUCCAGUAGAGUGAGAGACGAGAAGGCCAAGCAGUCAGAGGAGUCUCUGAGGACUGUCAUGUACUUGAGCUGCUGGGGACCCAACUGAAGAAGAAGAUAUGAAGAUGGAUGAUCAUCAGCCUGCUCUUGAAGCAACCAGGGAGGGCAUAUUCCAAGAAACUUAUGGAAAAUUGAGAUGAAGAAACUGCAGUGAAGCAAUUUUCUUGGAAUUUUUGCUUGGAGACUCACGAAUUACAACCAAUUGCUCAGGGUUGGGAAAAUUGGAAUUGCUGUGAAUUGUGACUGGGUCUUUGUAAAACCCACAUCAUUUAGCUAGAAAAGCUUUGAAAAUACAUUUUUAUUUAAUUUAUAAUUUCUAUGUUAGAAUAUUAGACCUGAUUCCUAAAAAGCUUAUCAGCCUUGUAUUAGACCCAAGCUCAAGCGCAUUAAGAAAAAAUAUGGCAGAUUUUGUCAUAUAGGGGAUAAAGAGGUGAUAAAGUAGAUACAACUCCCAAAAUUAAACUCUCAAUUAAUUUAAUUGAACAAAUAAUCAUAAAAGAGAUUUUUUAAAUUUAUGAUUUUAUUUUUUAAUUUAUACUAUUUGAAAAAGAAAAUUUCAGUGAAAUAUGUUCGUGUAGACUGUGUGGUAGGGUGCAGACUAAACAAAGAAAUGGACACGUGCUUGAAAUCCGGCCCUACACAUUGGCCCUUUGGAAAACAGCGGUUUCAUCCUCCGUACUUUUUGGGCGUUAAGUGGGUUCACAAACCAAACAAUGGGCUGCUAACACUUACACU